This 53275-nucleotide long non-coding RNA is filed under the name Triticum aestivum (bread wheat). RNAcentral's name for it is "long non-coding RNA (TAES_LNC009533)". The record is from RNAcentral. Lineage: Eukaryota; Viridiplantae; Streptophyta; Magnoliopsida; Poales; Poaceae.
UUUUGUUUGCUUGUGUUGCCAUGUGCCUUUUAUUUGCUUGCAUUUUAGUUUGCUAAAAAUCUAUUGAUAUGGAUCCUCGUCCACUUGCUAAUAUUUUUAAAAGAUCCUAUUAUUAUGAACCAGUUGCUAGUGAGUUGAGUGCACUAGAUUAUCAUUAUGAGGUUUUUCUUGAAAUUCAUGAAUUUGAAUAUUGUGAUGAAGUGUUGAAAGAAGAAACUUAUGAACUAAUUCACGAUAGAUCCUUGAAUGAAAAGCAUGAUUGCAAUGAUGUUACUAAAAAUUAUAUUAAUGUCAAUUGUGUUAAUGAUAUGCAAGACCCUAAGCUCGAGGAUGCUAAUUUUGCUAUGUCUACUACUUGUUGCAAUGAUCAUGAUUAGGGUGAUUCUUCUUAUGAUCUUGAAAAUUUAUUUAAGCCCCAUGAUGAAUAUGAGAUUGAUAAUAAUGUUUGCAAUAAUAUUGAAAGUGGGUUUGGAAGAGUGUCAACUUUAGACCCCACAUAUUUGGAGAAUUUUCAAUCUUAUGAAAUUUUUGAUAAAAGUGGGUUUGGAGAGGUCAUGACUUUAGUUAAUGUUGAUCCCACUAUUUUGGAAGAGCGUCAACUUCGCAUGCAUGCGGAUCGUGUUGAGAAUAUGUUAUCUGAUAGCUAUUUUGUUGAUUUUGCUUAUUAUCCUACAUGUAAUUAUUAUGAGAGAGGAAAAUAUGGUCGUAGAAAUUUUAUCUUCCUAAAUUACCUCUCUUCAUGUUGAGAUUGCUAUCAUCUCUUUCUUCUUCCUUGCAUGUGCUAGUUUUUGCUUGCCUUGAUAAAAAAAAUUCUUAUAAAAUGCCUAUGCAUAGGAAUUAUGUUAGACUUAGAUGUGUUUGUCACGUGUUUUAUGAUGCUCUCUUUGUGCUUCAAUUCUUCUCUUUUAUGUGAGCAUCAUUGAAAUUAUCAAUUCAUAGCUAAAAGGCUUUAAAUAAAAGCACUUGUUGGGAGACAACCCAAUAGUUUUCCUUGCUGUUUUGCAAUAAAUAAAUCAUCUAGCCUCUGGUUAGAUGUGGUUUUGUGUUUUAGUUAGUGUUUGUGCCAAGUAAGACCUUUGGGAUGGCUUACAGUGAUAGUUGUUUUGAUCAUGCUGAAAAACAGAAACUUUUGCGUCCAGGAAAAUAAUUUUCAUAAUUCACAUAAGCGUGUUUUUGAUCUGAUUCUUUUUGCACAUGAUUGUUACACAAAUUUCCCAGGUGUCCUAAUUUUUCAGAAUUUUUGGAGAUACAGAAGUAUUCGAAGUUUCAAGAUUACUGCAAACUAUUCUGUUUUUGAUAGAUUCUGUUUUCUAUGUGUUGUUUGCUUAUUUUGAUGAAUCUAUGGGUAGUUUAUGUCUACUAUGCAACUUUAUUAUUGUAGACAUGUGUUGGGUCUCCAAGCGCAGAGUUUUUUAGGACAGUAGCAAUUUUCCCUCAAGUGGAUGACCUAAGGUUUAUCAGUCUGUGGGAGGCGUAGGAUGAAGAUAGUCUCUCUCAAGCAACCCUACAAUCAAAUACAAGAAAUCUCUUGUGUCCCCAACACACCCAAUACAAUAUCAAAUUGUAUAGGUGCACUAGUUCAGCGAAGAGAUGGUGAUAAAAGUGUAGUAUGGAUAGUAGAUAUGAGUUUUUGUAGUGCGAACAAUAAAAAACAGCAAGGUAGCAAGUAGUAAAAUGGAGCACAAACGGUAUUGCAAUGAUAGAAAAUGAGGCCUAGGGUGCAUACUUUCACUAGUGCGAUAUCUAAACAAUGCUAACAUAGUUGGAUCAUAUAAGCAUCCCUCAAAGUGCGAUGAAGAAUCACUCCAAAGUUCCUAUCUAGCGGAGAACGUAAGACGGAAUUGUUUGUAGGGUACGAAACCACCUCAAAACUAUUCUUUCCGUUCGAUCUAUUCAAGAGUUCAUACUAAAAUAACACAAAGCUAUUCUUUCCGUUCGAUCUAUCCUAGAGUUCGUACUAAAAUAACACCAAAGCAAAUUUAGAUUUAUAAUAUUAAAUCCAACACAAAGAACUUCAAAGAGUGCCCCAAGAUUCCUAUUGGAGAAACAAAGACAAGAACGUGCAUCAACCCCUAUGCAUAGAUUACCCCAAUGUCACCUCGGUAAUCCACGAGUUGACUGCCAAAACAUAUAUCAAGUGAAUCAAUACGAUACCCCAUUGUCACCAUGAGUAUUCAAUUGCAAGAUAUAUAUCAAGUGUUCUCAAAUCCAUAAAAGUAUUCAAUCCAAUAACAACAAAAUCUCAAAAGGAAAAACUCAAUUCAUCACAAUAAGAUAGAGAGGGGGAAACACCAUAUGAUCCGGCUAUAUUAACAAAGCCCGCGAUAUAUCAAGAUCGUGACAUCUCAAGAACACGAGAGAGAGAGAGAGAGAGAUUAAACACAUAGCUACUGGUACAAACCCUCAGCUCCGAGGGUGGACUACUCCCUCCUCAUCGUGGUGGCCGCUGGGUGAUGAAGAUGGCCACCGGUGAUGAUUCCCCCCUCCGGCAGGGUGCCGGAACGGGGUCUAGAUUGGAUCUCGUGGAUACAGAGGCCUUGCGGCGGUGCAACUUCUGAUCUAGGGCUACUCCGAAGGGUUUUGGAAUAUUUGGAAAUUUAUAGGGCGAAGAGGCGGUCUAGGGGGCACCCGAGGUGGGCAGCACUCACCAGGGCACGCCUAGGUCUCUUAGCGCACCCUGGUGGGUGCUGCUCCCCUCGAGCAGCCCCCAGGUACUUCCUUGGCCCACUGCUUUCUUCUGGCCCAAAAAAAAUCCUCCAGGAGUUUCGUUGCGUUUGGACUCUAUUUGAUAUUGAUUUCUUGCGAUGUAAAAAACAAGCAAAAAACAACAACAGGCACUGGGCACUGGGUCAAUAGGUUAGUCCCAAAAAUGAUAUAAAGUUGCUAUAAAAUGAUUGUAAAACAUCCAAUAAUGAUAAUAUAAUGGCAUGAAUACUUCAUAAAUUAUAGAUACGUUGGAGACGUAUCAGUAGUAUUGGGGGGUAUGAACCAUGAAAAAGUUGGAAUACAGUAGAUAUUACACCAAUAUAAAUAAAGAAUGAGUUCACAACAGUACUAAAAGUGGCGGUUUAUUUUCUUAUACUAACAGAGCUUAUGAGAUUUUUCUGUUGAGUUUUGUGUUGUGAAGUUUUCAAGUUUUGGGUAAGGAUUUGAUGGACUAUGGGAUAAGGAGUGGCAAGAGCCUAAGUUGGGGAUGCCCAAGGCACCCCAAGGUAAUAUUCAAGGACAACCAAGAGCCUAAGCUUGGGGAUGCCCCAGAAGGCAUCCCCUCUUUCGUCUUCGUCUAUCGGUAACUUUACUUGAGGCUAUAUUUUUAUUCACCACAUGAUAUGUGUUUUGCUUGGAGCGUCUUGUAUGAUUUAAGUCUUUGUUGUUUAGUUUUCCACAAUCGUUCUUCCUGUACACACCUUUUGAGAGGGACACGCAUGAAUUGUGAUUUAUUAGAAUACUCUAUGUGCUUCACUUAUAUCUUUUGAGAUAGGCAAUAUUGCUCUAGUGCUUCACUUAUAUCUUUUUAGAACACGGCGCAGUCAUUUUGUUUUAUAGAAAUGGUUGAACUCUCAUGCUUCACUUAUAUUAUUUUGAGAGUCUCUAAACAGCAUGGUCAUUUGCUUUGGUUAUAAAAUUGGUCCUAAUAUGAUAGGCCUCCAAGAGGGAUAUAAUAAAACUUUCAUAUAAAGUGCAUUGAAUACUAUGAGAAGUUUGAUUCCUUAUGAUUGGUUUGAGAUAUAAAGAUGGUGAUAUUAGAGUCUUGCUAGUGAGUAAUUGUGGAUUGUAGAAAUACUUGUGUUAAAGUUUGUGAUUCCCAUAGCAUGCACGUAUGAUGAACCGUUAUGUGAUGAAGUCGGAGCAUGAUUUAUUUAUUGAUUGUGUUCCUUAUGAGUGGCAGUCGGGAACGAGCGAUGGUCUUUUCCUACCAAUCAUCCGAUUCGAGUUAAAUCAAUAUUUUUCAUUUGACUAGAUUCAAUAAAGAAAAAUAUAUUUCUCCUCUCCGGCGGGACUUCUAGAAGUUGUCUUCUCUCUCCGAAGUCGUCUUUUCUCUAUCUAAUAGGUACUUUUCUUCGUAAUUUUUUAUACUUCCAUAGCUUAUUAUUUUUAGACUAGUGUACGGUAGAAUAAUUAUAUUUAUAAAUUAGUCCAUGUAUUUACAUUUUAAGACUAGAAUUCUUUUAGCCAUAGCCCUUUUUCUUCCGUAAAACAGUUUGACCCUGAUUUUUCAAAUAGCCAUAACUUUUUACUCGUCUAUCCAAAUUAAACAAAACCAAUGCCAAUAUUUUCACCUUGAUUCCACUUAUGUAAUGAAUCUAUCAAAUAAACUUUUUACAACUUUCAAAUUUCGAAAUUUGUUCAGAUUCACACUCAAAUUUCUUUUGAUCAUAUCUUUUUAUCCGUACCUUCAUUUUCGAUAAAACCAACGCCUAAAUCUUCGUAACAAUCCCCUUUGUCUAGUAAACCAACUUAAACAUGCUUUUGACAAUUUAAAAUUUGAGUUUAGUUCAGAUUAGGAUUCGAUCUUGUUUCGUCUGUAACUUGAGUUUUAUAACUCUGUUUUAGUUGAUUCUUUUUGCAAAUCAAAGCUCUUGACCUAAAUUUUCUGAUAAGGCCAAAUCCACCUAAUUUUGGUACUGUUAGAAAUUAUUUUCUAUUGCAAGAGUUAAUUGCUUGUUUUCGAAGCUUUUGAAGAUCUUUUCUUCGAUUCUUUUGCAUGAUUACUUAUGUGUGGUUACUAUUGCUUGCUCAUGAUAGAUUGAAGAGAGUGUGACGAGUAGAUCUAUCACAAGUUAUGAGUGCAAUGAAUCUUCAUCAACAGUACAAGGCAAGUUCACACUUUCAUCAUAUCCCUUUAUUACCCAAUUUUUAUGCAUUAGUUUCAACCAUCAAACAUUGCAUGAGUAGGUUUGAUAACAUGUGGGUAUUCAGAAGUAGUUGAUGAGAUAAGAACCUAUCAUCUUUUAUCAAACCCAGGGUAUCAUACGUUAUGCUUGUACUAUUUUGCUAUGCUCGUAGACGUGGAUCGAUAUGAGAGAUUCAUGAAAGUUGAGAGAGAUAUGAUAACUAAGGGAAAAUUAAGGUGGCUACUUUAAUACACAUCUGGGUGGAAUGGUUGGGGCACCCUGGAGCACCCAGUGGUUCACCCGGGCACCUGGAGAACCCAUUGCUUGCCCAAGGGGAUCCCGGAGUAUGCAUGUGAUCAUCCUAUGGAAUGCCACCCAAGCUCAAAGGGAUCAUAUGAUAUUUCAUGCCUAGAAACUUCCGUGUGCAUUCACAAGCCAUUAUGGGCUCUAGCAUAGUUGAGUAAUUGUGUGAGCUCUUGAAGAGGUGGACUAGCAGAUGUAGGGGGAUUGUAGGUGUACUACUUCGCCCAGAGUAGAGAGUAAAUGCUUCUGAAAGACUGUGUCUCGGUCAUCCUGUUCUCAAACACUAGGCAAUACGAGGACUUCAAGGGAGGCGAUCGAGUCUUGUGGGGGAAAGUGCGCAACCUCUGCAGAGUGUACAAACUAAUCAUGAUUAGUUGUGUCCCCGGUUAUGGAGAAUUUUGAGUAUCUGGAAGUGGAUAUUAUUGUUGAUCUCAUCACUCUUAUUUAAUGUAUUGGGUUUAAUGAUUAAUUAUGGGAUUGAGUUGGGGGAACCUUCUCAAUAUUGGUAUAAACUUUGUAGUAAAUAAAAUUUAUUCCUUUGUUGUAGGGAAAAAUUAGCUUUAUGCAAAAAAAAUAAACUUAGAGCCUCCACCAGCCAAAUAUGCAUGUAGUGGUAGCUAUUAUUCAUCAUUAUCCUAUGGUGUGAAUUUGCCAGUGCAUUCAAUGUACUGACCUACAUGGCUGCAACGUCUCAUGUUGCAGGAAUCUUACGACGAGUAAGUGAUACGUUAGGGUUACGAUGUCUACACUCAACUUUGUUGUUGGUGUUGUUGGGACUCCACAACUUUGAUGUUACUUCCGCAAUAUGGAUUGAGGUAAUAGUAUUUACGUUACUUUAUACAUAUGAUUUACCUCUGUUAUAAAUCCUCGAGUAUUGUGUGUGUCAGCAUACCAAUCCAGGGAUAACACUUAAGCACAAAGACUUUGAUCCAUUCAGGUCGGGUCACUACAAGAUGGUAUUAGAGCACAUGUUGACUGUAGGAUGUGACCCCUAGAAAUUGGCAAGCCCAUUGGAAAGGAUUUCUCAAAAACUUUAUUUUCAAAGAGAUCCCUCAACUCUCAUCAUUUCUAAAGCUUUACCAAAUACUUUCCUCUCAUCUCAAAUAGUUAGACUAUACCCCUUUCCCUUUUCACCACACGAAGAUUCGACUUCGACUGAUGAGACCACUCCAAGGAGGACAAGAGAUCAGAAAACGGAGACCACUUCAGAACAAAGAGGAUUUUAUGGUGCAUUAGAAGUAUUGAAACUACAACAGUGGAAGACUCCGAAGACUAGGAGAAUUUGAAGGCUAUGAAGAAUUUCCAGAUUGGUAUGACCGAGGAAGGCUACCCUGAUAGAACUUGUCAGACUAUUGAAGUUGUCAAUACCCGAGAAUCAAGGUGUGCCGGAGAAAGACCGGAACAUGAAGCGUUAAAACUCGAAGUUUUUGUCAAGGACAACCCUAAGGCAGGAGAUCAACUAUGGAAUGAUAGCUCAUGGCAAUGACAAGGGCAGAAACACGGCUAUCCCUGAUGUUAUCGCCAGCUUGUGCUAUCGUCACCGUGCUAAGUUAAGCAUGCAUUUCUUUAGAAGGAUUGGAUGGUAGAAGGCUAAUGGAGCACCUAUCAACAAAAGAUGAAGUUUUAACCUUAGCUGGUGUAUCACCAGGAUCUGGAGUAUUACAUCAAGAAGUUUAGGGUGGAUCUUUAGGAAGCCGUAUUUGACAAGAAAGUAUUUCAUGAAGAACUCAGGACCCAGAAGCUGAACAUAGCCAAGUUGGAGGAGCAAAACCUCGAGGCACCAGAGAUUCGUCGGGAACUAAAGGACAGUAGGACCAUGGUUCAUGCCAAGGAUGUUGAAACCCAGAAGUUUGGAACGCAACUCCAGAAAUAUUGGAGUAUCAAACGAGCUCCAAAUGACAUGAAACUUGACAGGUGGUCUACCGGUGGUGUACCAAGGCCACAUGGCAAGCCUCGGUCCAUUUCGAGAAUGUUUAACACCCACUCACGAAAAGAGACAAGAGGGGUGCGCCGGUGCAUGUCGGAGUGUCAGAUUGCAAAAUGGACAACAGGGAAAAUGCUCGGAUGCAUGAGACGAACACGUAUGCAAAAGAGAUGCACAUGAUGACAUGAUAUGAGAUGCAUGACAUGAACAAAAUGCAAAACGAAAUACAAAAACCCAACCACGGAGGGAAUAUCAUAAAACAUAGCCGAAAAUGGCAAGAGUUGGAGUUACAAAUAUGGAAAGUUACAUCCGGGGUGUUACAACACUCCACCACUACAAGAGGAUCUCGUCCUGAGAUCUAGGACUGAAAGAACUCCAGAUAUUCGAACGGAGGUGAUCCUCGCACUCCCAGGUGGCUUCUCGGUCGGAAUGGUGUGAUCACUUCACUUUCAGGAAUUUGAUUGACUCGCUCGACUUGGCCACUUGUUUGAGGAUGGAAAGUUGUGCUGAAACGAAUAUUGGUGCCCAUGGCCUUCUGAAAGGAGUCCCAGAACUUAGAGGUGAAAAUGCUUCCACGGUCUGAAGAAAUCAAUUGAGGAAUGCCGUGCAAGGAGACAAUUCUGGAGGUGUGUAGCUCUGCCAACUGAGCUGCUUUGAUAGAUUCUUUGAUAGGAAGAAAAUGAGCCACUUUUGUAAGCUUGUCAAUGACAACGAACAUAGCAUCAUUUCCACGCUUGGACUUAGGAAAUCCAGUCACGAAGUCCAUCUUGAUGUGAUCAAACUUCCAUUCUGGAAUAGCAAGAGGUUGGAGGAGACCAGCUGGUCUUUGGUGUUCUGCUUUCACCCUUCUGCAGACGUCACAUUUGUUCACGAAUUGAGCAAUUUCUCGCUUCAUUCGAGUCCACCAAUACGACUGCUUGAGGUCAUGGUACAUCUUACCAACUUGUACCACCCACGAUGCGGCUAUAUCUCCCACGUGUCGAAGCACGACUUAGAGGCAUAACCGCAUGGUGGUUUUGUCGCAAAAAGGGUCAUCUUCACACAAUCCCAUGUAAUGAAUAAGAAUGGGAUAAACAAAGUUGGCUUACAAUCGCCACUUCACACAAUACAUAAGUAAAUUCAUACAUCAUCCAAAAUACACUCAUAGACCGACUACGGUCAAAUCCAAAUGAAAAGAAGAUAACCCCAAAUGCUAGAUCCCCGAUCGUCCCAACUGGGCUCCACUACUGAUCAUCUGGAAACGAAACAUAGUAAUGACCAAAGUCCUCAUCAAACUCCCACUUGAGCUCGGUUGCGCCACUUGCACUGGUAUCCUUGGCACCUGCAUCUGCUUUGGUAGAAUUUGUGAGUCACGAGGACUCAGCAAUCUCACACCUGCGAGAUCAAGACUAUAUAAGCUUGUAGGUAGGAAAGGGGUAAUAUGGUGGAGUUGCAGCAAGCACUAAGCAAAUAUGGUGGCUAACAUACGCAAGUGAGAGCGAGAAGAGAAGCAACGCAUCGGUCGAGAAGCUAGAAGUGAUCCUGAAACUACUUACGUUCAUACAUAACCCAAACCAUGUUCACUUCCUGGACUCCGCCGAGAAGAGACCAUCACGGCUACACACGCGGUUGAUGCAUUUUAAUGAAGUCAAGUGUCAAGUUCUCUACAACCAGACAUUAACAAAUUCCCAUCUGCCACAUAACCGUGGGCAUGGCUUUCGAAAGUUUAUACCCUGCAGGGGUGUCCCAACUUAGCCCAUCACAAUCUCUCACGGUCAAUGAAGGAUAUACCUUCUCCCGGGAAGACCCGAUCAGCCUCGGAAUCCCGGUUUACAAGACAUUUCAACAAUGGUAAAACAAGAACAACAAAGCAGCCCGAUGUGCCGAAAAAUCUCAAUAGGAGCUGCAGAUAUCUCGUUCUCAGGGCACAACGGAUAGGUCAGCCUACGAGUAAGACCAGCCCUCGAGUUGCCCCGUGGUGGCCCCGCGGUCUGCCCGGUUCAGACCAGCACUUAGAGAAGCACUGGCCCGGGGGGGCUAAAAUAAAGACGACCCUUGGGUUGGCCGACCCAAGGGAAAGGUAUAGGUGGUGGUGAGGCAAAUGGUAAAACCAAGGUUGGGCCUUGCUGGAGGAGUUUUAUUCAAAGCGAACUGUCAAGGGGGUCCCAUAAAUCACCCAACCGCGUAAGGAACGCAAAAUCCGGGAACAUAACACUGGUAUGACGGAAACUAGGGCGGCAAGAGUGGAACAAAACACCAGGCAUAAGGCCGAGUCUUCCACCCUUUACCAAGUAUAUAGAUGCAUUAAUUAAAUAAGAGAUAUUGUGAUAUCCCAACAUAAUCCUGUCCACCAUGGAGCAAUCUUCAACUUCACCUGCAACUAACAAUGCUAUAAGAGGGGCUGAGCAAAAGCGGUAACAUAGCCAAACAACGGUUUGCUAGGAAGGGUGAAAAAGGUUAGAGGCUGACAUGUCAAAUUGGGAGGCUUGAAGAACAAGUGAUAGGUAGCGUAGCAUAGUGAUAGAACGAAGCAACUAGCAUAGCAAUGAUAGUUGUGACAUCCAGGGUAGCGGUCAUCUUGCCUGAAAUCCCGCUAGGAAGAAGAACGAGUGCAUGAAGAAGACGAACAGGCGUAGUCGAGCGAAUCCUCACAAUCGCAACGUUACCGGAACUAUCAAGAAGAAGCAACAUCGGAAAGAAGCAGACAACAUGGUAAACACACCAGCAUAAUCAUGGCAUGAUGCACAAUCAAGUAUGAUGCAUGUCCGAUUUAAUGAGGCAACGCAUGGCAAAGAUUAACAAACAACACUACAAGUUAAGUGGAGCUCAAUAUGCAACGAGUUGCAUAUUGACGAAACACCACAUCAAUUAUUUAGUUCUCUCUCGUUUACUAAUACAACAGUAUUACAUGUUAUUAAACAUGGCAAGAGGUGAAGCAUAAGUAAACUAACUAUUUAGGCAAGUUUAAAUGAGGCCGGAACAACAAACAACAAUUCCGGAAAUUCCCCACAAGUAAUAUUCAAAUUUUGUAUUGUUCUGCCCUAAAUCAUAUUUCAUUUUUUUAAGCAGGAAAAUAAAGUGCACCGUGUUAAACUAGGCAUUUUUUCCACCCCAUUUACAUAUAAAGUUUAUUAAAUUUGGAGCUACGGUUAAAUAGUUAUGGAAUAAAUCAUUUUAACAUGGCAUUUGAGCAAAUUUAAACAAACAACAUUUUAAACAUUUUAAACAUGGAUGAAAGUGGCAUAUUAUUAAUCUACACAAAAUUCUAAGCAUUUUACAUGUUUAAAUCAUUUUAAUCUGAUGCAUGGUUAAUGAGUUAUUAUAUGCAUGAAGACUAGGGACUUUUCUGUAAAACCGUAAUUCGCUGGAUAAUAGAGAAAAUCACAGCGCAGGGAAAAAAACUACGCGGGCCGAAUCUGAUUGGCCCAACAGUGCACAGGGCAAAUAGAGGCUGGGCUGAGGCUCACCAGAGGGCCUUGGGCCAGCGGGUCUAGUGGGCUGGAGGGCUGAAGGGGCGCGGCUGGGCCUUGAGGCGCUGCGGCUGGCGCGGAGGACGGGCGGCGGAGAGCGAGGCGACAGGGCCGCGNNNNNNNNNNNNNNNNNNNNNNNNNNNNNNNNNNNNNNNNNNNNNNNNNNNNNNNNNNNNNNNNNNNNNNNNNNNNNNNNNNNNNNNNNNNNNNNNNNNNNNNNNNNNNNNNNNNNNNNNNNNNNNNNNNNNNNNNNNNNNNNNNNNNNNNNNNNNNNNNNNNNNNNNNNNNNNNNNNNNNNNNNNNNNNNNNNNNNNNNNNNNNNNNNNNNNNNNNNNNNNNNNNNNNNNNNNNNNNNNNNNNNNNNNNNNNNNNNNNNNNNNNNNNNNNNNNNNNNNNNNNNNNNNNNNNNNNNNNNNNNNNNNNNNNNNNNNNNNNNNNNNNNNNNNNNNNNNNNNNNNNNNNNNNNNNNNNNNNNNNNNNNNNNNNNNNNNNNNNNNNNNNNNNNNNNNNNNNNNNNNNNNNNNGGGGGCGGCUGCGGGUUCGACGGGCCGGGGCGGCGCACGGUGGCCGGGUGCCACAUGUCGCACCCUGGUUCGCCGGGCAGCGGCGGCGCAGGUGUCCGUCCCGGGGCGGACACGUCCGGCGGCGCGGAGGGAGGUUUGCUAGGGUUGGACUGCGAAAAAUCCGGGGGGGAGCACAUAUUUAUAGGUAGAGGGAGCUAGGAGACUCCAAAUGGAGUGUAGUUUUCGCCCACACGAUCGUGAUCCGACGACGGAGAGCAUGGAAGUGACUUAGAUGGGUUAUUGGGCUGUUUUGGAGGGAUGUUGGACUGCAACCCAAAAGAGGCCUUUGCGGUUAGCCGGUUAACCGUUGGAGUAUCAAACGAGCUCCAAAUGACAUGAAACUUGACAGGUGGUCUACCGGUGGUGUACCAAGGUCACUUGUCAAGCCUCGGUCCAUUACGAGAACGUUUAACACCCACUCACGAGAAGAGACAAGAGGGGUGCGCCGGUGCAUGUGGGAGUGUCAGAUUGCAAAACCGAAAACGGGGAAAAUGCUCAGAUGCAUGAGACGAACACGUAUGCAAAAGAGAUGCACAUGAUGACAUGAUAUGAGAUGCAUGACAUGAACAAAAUGCAAAACGAAAGACAAAAACCCAACCACGGAGGGAAUAUCAUAACGCAUAGCCGAAAAUGGCAAGAGUUGGAGUUACAAAUAUGGAAAGUUACAUCCGGGGUGUUACAACACUCCACCACUACAAGAGGAUCUCGUCCUGAGAUCUAGGACUGAAAGAACUCCGGAUAUUCAGAAUGGAGGUGAUCCUCGCGCUCCCAGGUGGCUUCUCGGUCGGCAUGGUGUGACCACUUCACUUUCAGGAAUUUGAUUGACUCGCUCGACUUGGCCACUUGUUUGAGGAUGGAAAGGUGUGCUGAAACGAAUGUUGGUGCCAUGGCCUUCUGAAAGGAGUCCCAGAACUUAGAGGUGAAAAUGUUUCCACGGUCUAAAGAACUCAAUUGAGGAAUGUCGUGCCAGGAGAAAAUUCUGGAGGUGUAUAGCUCUGCCAACUGUGCUGAUGUGAUAGAUUCUUUGAUAGGAAGAAAAUGAGCCACUUUUGUAAGCUUGUCAAUGACAACGAAGAUAGCAUCAUUUCCACGCUUGGACUUAGGAAAUCCAGUCACGAAGUCCAUCUCGAUGUGAUCAAACUUCCAUUCUAGAAUAGCAAGAGGUUGGAGGAGACCAGCUAGUCUUUGGUGUUCUGCUUUCACCCUUCUGCAGACGUCACAUUCAUUCAUGAAUUGAGCAAUUUCUCGCUUCAUUCGAGUCCAGAAAUACGACUGCUUGAGGUCAUGCUACAUCUUACCAACUUGUAACACCCAUGAUGCGGCUAUAUCUCCCACGUGUCGAAGCACGACUUAGAGGCAUAACCGCAUGGUGGUUUUGUUGCAAGAAGGGUCAUCUUCGCACAAUCCCAUGUAAUGAACAAGAAUGGGAUAAAGAGAGUUGGCUUACAAUCUCCACUUCACACAAUACAUAAGUAAAUUCAUACAUCAUCCAAAAUACACUCAUAGACCGACUACGGUCAAAUCCAAAAGAAAAGAAGAUAACCCCAAAUGCUAGAUCCCCGAUCGUCCCAACUGGGCUCCACUACUGAUCAUCUGGAAACGAAACAUAAUAAUGACCAAAGUCCUCAUCAAACUCCCACUUGAGCUCGGUUGUGCCACUUGCACUGGUAUCCUUGGCACCUGCAUCUGCUUUGGUAGAAUUUGUGAGUCACGAGGACUCAGCAAUCUCACACCCACGACAUCAAGACUAUAUAAGCUUGUAGGUAGGAAAGGGGUAAUGUGGUGGAGCUGCAGCAAGCACUAAGCAAAUAUGGUGGCUAACAUACGCAACUGAGAGCGAGAAGAGAAGCAACGCAUCGGUCGAGAAGCUAGAAGUGAUCAUGAAGUGAUCCUGAAACUACUUACGUUCAUACAUAACCCACACCGUGUUCACUUCCCGGACUCCGCCGAGAAGAGACCAUCACGGCUACACACGCGGUUGAUGCAUUUUAAUGAAGUCAAGUGUCAAGUUCUCUACAACCAGACAUUAACAAAUUCCCAUCUGCCACAUAACCGUGGGCAUGGCUUUCGAAAGUUUAUACCCUGCAGGGGUGUCCCAACUUAGCCCAUCACAAGCUCUCACGGUCAACGAAGGAUAUACCUUCUCCCGGGAAGACCCGAUCAGCCUCGGAAUCCCGGUUUACAAGACAUUUCAACAAUGGUAAAACAAGAGCAGCAAAGCCGCCCGAUGUGCCGACAAAUCCCGAUAGGAGCUGCACAUAUCUCGUUCUCAGGGCACAACGGAUAGGUCAGCCUACGAGCAAAACCAGCCCUCGAGUUGCCCCGUGGUGGCCCCGUGGUCUGCCCGGUUCGGACCAGCACUUAGAAAAGCACUGGCCCGGGGGGGCUAAAAUAAAGACGACCCUUGGGUUGGCCGACCCAAGGGAAAGGUAUAGGUGGUGGUGAGGCAAAUGGUAAAACGAAGGUUGGGCCUUGCUGGAGGAGUUUUAUUCAAAGCGAACUGUCAAGGGGGUCCCAUAAAUCACCCAACCGCGUAAGGAAUGCAAAAUCCGGGAACAUAACACUGGUAUGACGGAAACUAGGGCGGCAAGAGUGGAACAAAACACCAGGCAUAAGGCCGAGUCUUCCACCCUUUACCAAGUAUAUAGAUGUAUUAAUUAAAUAAGAGAUAUUGUGAUAUCCCAACAUAAUCUUGUCCACCAUGGAGCAAUCUUCAACUUCACCUGCAACUAACAAUGCUAUAAGAGGGGCUGAGCAAAAGCGGUAACAUAGCCAAACAACGGUUUGCUAGGAAGGGUGAAAAAGGUUAGAGGCUGACAUGUCAAAUUGGGAGGCUUGAAGAACAAGUGAUAGGUAGCGUAGCAUAGCGAUAGAAUGAAGCAACUAGCAUAGCAAUGAUAGUAGUGACAUCCAGGGUAGCGGUCAUCUUGCCUGAAAUCCCGCUAGGAAGAAGAACGAGUGCAUGAAGAAGACGAACAGGCGUAGUCGAGCGAAUCCUCACAAUCGCAACGUUACCGGAACUAUCAAGAAGAAGCAACAUCGGAAAGAAGCAGACAACAUGGUAAAUACACCAGCAUAAUCAUGGCAUGAUGCACAAUCAAGUAUGAUGCAUGUCUGGUUUCAUGAGGCAAGGCAUGGCAAAGUUUAACAAACAAUACUACAAGUUAAGUGGAGCUCAAUAUGCAACGAGUUGCAUACUGACGAUACACCACAUCAAUUAUUUAGUUCUCUCUCGUUUACUAAUACAACAAUAUUACAUGUUAUUAAACAUCGCAAGAGGUGAAGCAUAAGUAAACUAACUAUUUAGGCAAGUUUAAAUGAGGCCGGAACAACAAACAACAAUUCCGGAAAUUCCCCACAAGUAAUAUUCGAAUUUGGUACUGUUCUGCCCUAAAUCAUAUUUCAUUGUUUUUAAGCAGGAAAAUAAAGUGCACCAUGUUAAACUAGGCAUUUUUCCACCCCAUUUACAUAUAAAGUUUAUUAAAUUUGGAGCUACGGUUAAAUAGUUAUGGAAUAAAUCAUUUUAACAUGGCAUUUGAGCAAAUUUAAACAAACAACAAUUUAAACAUUUUAAACAUGGAUGAAAGUGGCAUAUUAUUAAUCUACACAAAAUUAUAAGCAUUUUACAUGUUUAGAUCAUUUUAAUCCAAUGCACGGUUAAUGAGUUAUUUUAUGCAUGAAGACUAGGGACUUUUGUGUAAAACUGUAAUUCGCUGGAUAAUAGAGAAAAUCACAGAGCAGGGAAAAAAACUACGCGGGCCUAAUCUGAUUGGCCCAACAGUGCACAGGGCAAACAGUGGCUGGGUUGAGGCUCACCAGAGGGCCUUGGGCCAGCGGAUCUGGUGGGCUGGAGGGCUGAAGGGGCGCGGCUGGGCCUUGAGGCGCUGCGGUUGGCGCGGAGGACGGGCGGCGGAGAGCGAGGCGACGGGCUGCGGGGGCCGGCUGCGGGCUCGGCGGGCCGGGGCGACGCACGGUGGCAAGGUGCCACGUGUCGCGCCCUCGUUCGCCGGGCGGCGGCGGCACGGGUGUCCGGCCCAGGACGGACACGUCCGGCGGCGUGGGUGUCCGGCCCGGGAUGGACACGUCCGGCGGCGCGGAGGGAGGUUUGCUAGGGUGUGACUGCGAAAAAUCCGGGGGGGGCACAUAUUUACAGGUAGAGGGAGCUAGGAGACUCCAAAUGGAGUGUAGUUUUCGCCCACACAGUCGUGAUCCGACGACGGAGAGCAUGGAAGUGACUUAGAUGGGUUAUUGGGCUGUUUUGGAGGGGUGUUGGACUGCAACCCAAAAGAGGCCUUUGUAGUUACCCGGUUAACCGUUGGAGUAUCAAACGAGCUCCAAAUGACACGAAACUUGACAGGUGGUCUACCGGUGGUGUACCAAGGCCACUUGGCAAGCGUCGGUCCAUUCCAAGAAAGUUUAAAACCCACUCACAAAAAGAGACAAGAGGGGUGCGCCGGUGCAUGUGGGAGUUUCGGAUUGCAAAACGGACAACGGGGAAAAUGCUCGGAUGCAUGAGACGAACACGUAUGCAAAAGAGAUGCACAUGAUGACAUGAUAUGAGAUGCAUGACAUGAACAAAAUGCAAAACGAAAGACAAAAACCCAACCACGGAGGGAAUAUCAUAACACAUAGCCGAAAAUGGCAAGAGUUGGAGUUACAAAUAUGGAAAGUUACAUCCGGGGUGUUACAACAAGAGUUGAUCUACCACGAGAUCGUAGAGGCUAAACCCUAGAAGCUAGCCUAUGAUUAUGAUUGUUCUUGUCCUAUGGACUAAACCCUCCGGUUUAUAUAGACACCUGAGGGGGCUAGGGUUACACAGAGUCGGUUACAAAGAAGGAGAUCUAUCAUCUGUUGGGGAACGUUGCAGAAAAUAAAAAAAUUCUACGCUUCACCAAGAUCAAUCUAUGGAGUCAUCUAGCAACGAGAUAGAGGAGUGCAUCUACAUACCCUUGUAGAUCACGAGCGGAAGCAUCCAAGAGAACGGGGUUGAGGGAGUCGUACUCGUCGGGAUCCAAAUCACCGAAGAUCCUAGUGCUGAACGGACAGCACCUCCACGUUCAACACACGUACGGUUGGGGAAGACGUCUCCUCCUUCUUGAUCCAGCAAGGGGGAAGGAGAGGUUGAUGGAGAUCCAGCAGCACGACGGCGUGGUGGUAGAAGUAGCGGCGAUCUCGGCAGGGCUUCGCCAAGCUCAGCGAGAGGGAGAGGUGGUACGUGGGGAGAGGGAGGCGCUAGGGACUAGGGUACGGCUGCCCUCCCUCCUCCCCUCUUUAUAUAGGGGCCUAGGGGGUGCAUCGGCCCCCUAGAUAUCCCAUCUCAAGGGGGGCGGCGGCCUAGGGGGGACUUGCCCCCCAAGUCAAGUGGGGCGCCCCCCACCCCUAGGGUUUCCAACCCUAGGCGCAGGGGAGGCCCAAGGGGGGGCGCACCAGCCCACCAGGGGCUGGUUCCCUUCCCUCUUCAGCCCACGGGGACCUUUGGGAUAGGUGGCCUCACCCGGUGGACCGAAACUAUUGAGGAACGUAGUAAUUUCAAAAAAAUUCCUACGCACACGCAAGAUCAUGGAGAUGCAUAGCAACGAGACGGGAGAGUAUUGUCCACAUACCCUCGUAGACCGAAAGCGGAAGCGUUAUGACAACGCGGUUGAUGUAGUCGUACGUCUUCACGAUCCGACCGAUCCAAGUACCGAACAUACGGCACCUCCGAGUUCAGCACACAUUCAGCUUGAUGACGAUCCACGGACUCCGAUCCAGCAGGGUGUCGGGGAUGAGUUCUGUCAGCAUGAUGGUGUGGUGACGAUGAUGAUGUUCUACCGACGCAGGGCUUCGCCUAAGCACCGCAAUGAUAUGACCGAGGUGGAAUAUGGUGGAGAGGGGCACCGCACACGGCUAAGGAAUGAUCACGAAGAUCAACUUCUGUGUUAUGGGGUGCCCCCCUGCCCCCGUAUAUAAAGGAGGGAGGGGGGAGGUGCGGCCGGCCCCUAGGGGUGCGCCUCGAGGAGUCCUACUCCCACCGGGAGUAGGACUCCCCCCUCUUGCCUUGUAGGAGAAGGAAAGGGGGAAGGGGAAAGAGGAAAGCCCCCCCCCAUUCCUUGUCCUAUUCGGACUAGGGGGGAGGGGGCGCGCGGCCUGCCCUGGCUGGCCCUCCUCUUCUCCCUUAGGCCCAUGUAGGCCCAUUAACCCCCGGGGGGGUUCCGGCAACCCCCUGGUACUCCGGUAAAAUCCCGAUUUCACCCGGAACGAUUCCGAUAUCCAAAUAUAGGCUUCCAAUAUAUCAAUCUUUAUGUCUCGGCCAUUUCGAGACUCCUCAUCAUGUCCGUGAUCAUAUCCGGGACUUUGAACAACCUUCGGUACAUCAAAACUUUUAAACUCAUAAUAAAACUAUCAUCGUAACGUUAAGCGUGCGGACCCUACGGGUUCGAGAACUAUGUAGACAUGACCUAGAAUUGUUUCCGGUCAAUAACCAAUAGCGGAACCUGGAUGUUCAUAUUGGCUCCUACAUAUUCUACGAAGAUCUUUAUUGGUCAGACCGCAUAACAACAUACGUUGUUCCCUUUGUCAUUGGUAUGUUACUUGCCCAAGAUUCAAUCGUCGGUAUCUCAAUACCUAGUUCAAUCUCGUUACCGGCAAGUCUCUUUACUCGUUUUGUAAUACAUCAUCUCACAACUCAUUAGUUGCAAUGCUUGCAAGGCUUAAGUGAUGUGCAUUACCAAGAGGGCCCAAAGAUACCUCUUCAACUAUCGGAGUGACAAAUCCUAAUCUCAAAAUACGCCAACCCAACAAGUACCUUUGGAGACACCUGUAGAGCACCUUUAUAAUCACCCAGUUACGUUGUGAUGUUUGGUAGCACACAAAGUGUUCCUCAGGUAAACGGGAGUUGCAUAAUCUCAUAGUCAUAGGAACAUGUAUAAGUCAUGAAGAAAGCAAUAGCAGAAAACUAAACGAUCAAGUGCUAAGCUAACGGAAUGGGUCAAGUCAAUCACAUCAUUCUCCUAAUGAUGUGAUCCCGUUAAUCAAAUGACAACACAUGUCUAUGGUCGGGAAACAUAACCAUCUUUGAUCAACGAGCUAGUCAAGUAGAGGCAUACUAGUGACACUCUGUUUGUCUAUGUAUUCACACAAGUAUUAUGUUUCCAGUUAAUACAAUUCUAGCAUGAAUAAUAAACAUUUAUCAUGAUAUAAGGAAAUAAAUAAUAACUCUAUUAUUGCCUCUAGGGCAUAUUUCCUUCAGUCUCCCACUUGCACUAGAGUCAAUAAUCUAGAUUACACAGUAAUGAUUCUAACACCCAUGGAGUCUUGGUGUUGAUCAUGUUUUGCUCGUGGAAGAGGCUUAGUCAACGGGUCUGCAACAUUCAGAUCCGUAUGUAUCUUGCAAAUUUCUAUGUCUCCCACCUGGACUAGAUCCCGGAUGGAAUUGAAGUGUCUCUUGAUGUGCUUGGUUCUCUUGUGAAAUCUGGAUUCCUUCGCUAAGGCAAUUGCUCCAGUAUUGUCACAAAAUAUUUUCAUUGGACCCGAUGCACUAGGUAUGACACCUAGAUCGGAUAUGAACUCCUUCAUCCAGACUCCUUCAUUUGUUGCUUCCGAAGCAGCUAUGUAUUCCGCUUCACACGUAGAUCCCGCCACGACGCUUUGUUUAGAACUGCACCAAGUGACAGCUCCACCGUUCAAUGUAAACACGUAUCUGGUUUGCGAUUUAGAAUCGUCCGACUCAGUGUCAAAGCUUGCAUCAACGUAACCAUUUACGAUGAGCUCUUUGUCACCUCCAUAUAUGAGAAACAUGUCCUUAGUCCUUUUCAGGUAUUUUAGGAUGUUCUUGACCGCUGUCAAGUGAUCCACUCCUGGAUUACUUUGGUACCUCCCUGCUAGACUUAUAGCAAGGCACACAUCAGGUCUGGCACACAGCAUUGCAUACAUGAUAGAGCCUAUGGCUGAAGCAUAGGGAACAUCUUUCAUCUUCACUCUAUCUUCUGCAGUGAUCGGGCUUUGAGUCUUACUCAACUUCACACCUUAUAACACAGGCAAGAACCCUUUGUUUGCUUGAUCCAUUUUGAACUUCUUCAAAACUUUGUCAAGGUAUGUGCUUCGUGAAAGUCCAAUUAAGCGUCUUGAUCUAUCUCUAUAGAUCUUAAUGCCCAAUAUGUAAGCAGCUUCACCGAGGUCUUUCAUUGAAAAACACUUAUUCAAGUAUCCUUUUAUGCUAUCCAGAAAUUCUAUAUCAUUUCCGAUCAGCAAUAUGUCAUCUACAUAUAGUAUCAGAAAUGCUACAGAGAUCCCACUCACUUUCUUGUAAAUACAAGCUUCUCCAAAAGUCUGUAUAAAACCAAAUGCUUUGAUCACACUAUCAAAGCAUUUGUUCCAACUCCGAGAGGCUUGCACCAGUCCAUAAAUGGAUCGCUGGAGCUUGCACACUUUGUUAGCUCCCUUUGGAUCGACAAAACCUUCCGGUUGCAUCAUAUACAACUCUUCUUCUGGAAAACCAUUCAGGAAUGCAGUUUUGACAUCCAUCUGCCAUAUUUCAUAAUCAUAAAAUGCGGCAACUGCUAACAUGAUUCGGACAGACUUAAGCAUCUCUAUGGGUGAGAAGGUCUCAUCGUAGUCAACCCCUUGAACUUGUCGAAAACUUUUCGCACAAGUCGAGCUUUGUAGACAGUAACAUUACCGUCAGCGUCAGUCUUCUUCUUGAAGAUCCAUUUAUUUUCAAUUGCUUGCCAAUCAUUGGGCAAGUCAACCAAAGUCCAUACUUUGUUUUCAUACAUGGAUCCCAUCUCAUAUUUCAUGGCCUCAAGCCAUUUUUCAGAAUCUGGGCUCACCAUCGCUUCUUCAUAGUUCAUAGGUUCAUCAUGGUCUAGUAACAUGACUUCCAAAACAGGAUUACCGUACCACUUUGGUGCGGAUUUUAUUCUGGUUGAUCUACGAGGUUCAGUAACAACUUGAUCUGAAGUUCCAUGAUCAUCAUCAUUAACUUCCUCACUAAUUGGUGUAGGUGUCACAGGAACAGAUUUCUGUGAUGAACUACUUUCCAAUAAGGGAGCAGGUACAGUUACCUCAUCAAGUUCUACUUUCCUCCCACUCACUUCUUUCGAGAGAAACUCCUUCUCCAGAAAGUUUCCGAACUUAGCUACAAAUGUUUUGCCUUCAGAUCUGUGAUAGAAGGUGUACCCAAUGGUCUCCUUUGGGUAUCCUAUGAAGACACAUUUCUCCGAUUUGGGUUCGAGCUUAUCAGGUUGAAGAUUUUUCACAUAAGCAUCACAGCCCCAAACUUUCAGAAACGACAACUUCGGUUUCUUGCUAAACCACAGUUCAUAAGGCGUCGUCUCAACAGAUUUUGAUGGUGCCCUAUUUAACGUGAAUGCGGCCAUCUCUAAAGCAUAACCCCAAAAUGAUAGUGGUAAAUCUGUAAGAGACAUCAUAGAUCGCACCAUAUCUAGUAAAGUACGAUUACGAUGUUCGGACACACCAUUACGAUGUGGUCUUCCGGGUGGCGUUAGUUGUGAAACUAUUCCGCAUUGUUUCAAAUGUAGACCAAACUCGUAACUCAAAUAUUCUCCUCCACGAUCUGAACCUAGAAACUUUAUUUUCUUGUUAUGAUGAUUUUCAACUUCACUCUGAAAUUCCUUGAACUUUUCAAAUGUUUCAGACUUAUGCUUCAUUACGUAGAUAUAACCAUAUCUGCUCAAAUCAUCUGUGAAGGUGAGAAAAUAACGAUAUCCGCCACGAGCCUCAACAUUCAUCGGACCACAUACAUCUGUAUGUAUGAUCUCCAAUAAAUUAGUUGCUCUCUCCAUACUACCGUAGAACGGUGUUUUAGUCAUCUUGCCCAUGAGGCACGGUUCGCAAGUACCAAGUGAUUCAUAAUCAAGUUGUUCCAAAAGUCCAUCAGUAUGGAGUUUCUUCAUGCGCUUUACACCGAUAUGACCUAAACGGCAGUGCCACAAAUAAGUUGCACUAUCAUUAUCAACUCUGCAUCAUUUGGCUUCAACAUUAUGAAUAUGUGUAUCACUACUAUCGAGAUUCAAUAAAAAUAGACCACUCUUCAAGGGUGCAUGACCAUAAAAGAUAUUACUCAUAUAAAUAGAACAACCAUUAUUCUCUGAUUUAAAUGAAUAAUCGUCUCGCAUCAAACAAGAUCCAGAUAUAAUGUUCAUGCUCAACGCUGGCACCAAAUAACAAUUAUUUAGGUCUAAAACUAAUCCCAAAGGCAGAUGUAGAGGUAGCGUGUCGACCGCGAUCACAUCGACUUUGGAACCAUUUCCCACAUGCAUCGUCACCUUGUCCUUAGCUAAUCUUCGCUUAAUCCGUAGUCCCUAUUUCGAGUUGCAAAUAUUAGCAACAGAACCAGUAUCAAAUACCCAGGUGCUACUGCGAGCAUUAGUAAGGUACACAUCAAGAACAUGUAUAUCACAUAUAACUUUGUUCACCUUGCCAUCCUUCUUAUCCGCCAAAUACUUGGGGCAGUUCCGCUUCCAGUGACCAGUCUGUUUGCAGUAGAAGCACUCAGUUUCAGGCUUAGGUCCAGACUUAGGUUUCUUCUCCUGAGCAGCAACAUGUUUGUUGUUCUUCUUGAAGUUUCCCUUCUUCUUCCCUUUGCCCUUUUUCUUGAAACUAGUGGUCUUGUUAACCAUCAACACUUGAUUCUCCUUCUUGAUUUCUACCUCCGCAGCUUUUAGCAUUGCGAAGAGCUCGGGAAUAGUCUUUUCCAUUCCUUGCAUAUUACAGUUCAUCACAAAGCUCUUGUAGCUUGGUGGCGGUGAUUGGAGAAUUCUGUCAAUGACGCUAUCAUCCGGAAGAUUAACUCCCAGUUGAAUCAGGUGAUUAUUAUACCCAGACAUUUUGAGUAUAUGCUCACUGACAGAACUGUUCUCCUCCAUCUUGCAGCUGUAGAACUUAUUGGAGACUUCAUAUCUCUCAAUCCGGGCAUUUGCUUGAAAUAUUAACUUCAACUCCUGGAACAUCUCAUAUGCUCCAUGACGUUCAAAACAUCGUUGAAGACCCAGUUCUAAGCCGUAAAGCAUGGCACACUAAACUAUAGAGUAGUCAUCAGCUUUGCUCUGCCAGACGUUCAUAACAUCUGGUGUUGCUCCAGCAGCAUGCCUGGCACCUAGCGGUGCUUCUAGGACGUAAUUCUUCUGUGCAGCAAUGAGGAUAAUCCUCAAGUUACGGACCCAGUCCGUGUAAUUGCUACCAUCAUCUUUCAACUUUGCUUUCUCAAGGAACGCAUUAAAAUUUAACGGAACAACAGCACGGGCCAUCUAUCUACAAUCAACAUAGACAAGCAAGAUACUAUCAGGUACUAAGUUCAUGAUAAAUUUAAGUUUAAUUAAUCAUAUUACUUAAGAACUCCCACUUAGAUAGACAUCCCUCUAAUCCUCUAAUUGAUUAUGUGAUCCAUAUCAACUACACCAUGUCCGAUCAUCACGUGAGAUGGAGUAGUUUCAACGGUGAACAUCAAUAUGUUGAGCAUAUCUACUAUAUGAUUCACGCUCGACCUUUCGGUCUCCGUGUUCUGAGGCCAUAUCUGUUAUAUGCUAGGCUCGUCAAGUUUAACCUGAGUAUUCCGCGUGUGCAACUGUUUUGCACCCGUUGUAUUUGAACAUAGAGCCUAUCACACCCGAUCAUCACAUGGUGUCUCAGCACGAAGAACUUUCGCAAUGGUGCAUACUCAGGGAAACACUUCUUGAUAAUUUUAGUGAGAGAUCAUCUUAAAAUGCUACCGUCAAUGAAAGCAAGAUAAGAUGCAUAAAGGAUAAACAUCACAUGCAAUCAAUAUAAGUGAUAUGAUAUGGCCAUCAUCAUCUUGUGCUUGUGAUCUCCAUCUCCGAAGCACCUCCAUGAUCACCAUCGUCACCGGCGCGACACCUUGAUCUCCAUCGUAGCAUCAUUGUCGUUUACGUCGUCUAUUGCUUCUAUGACUAUCGCUAGCGCUUAGUGAUAAAGUAAAGCAAUUACAAGGUGUUUGCAUUUUGUACAAUAAAGCGACAACCAUAUGGCUCCUGCUAGUUGCCGAUAACUUCGGUUACAAAACAUGAUCAUCUCAUACAAUAAAAUAUAGCAUCACAUCUUGACCAUAUCACAUCACAACAUGCCCUGCAAAAACAAGUUAGACGUCCUCUACUUUGUUGUUGCAAGUUUUACGUGGCUGCUACGGGCUUAGCAAGAACUAUUCUUAUCUAUGCAUCAAAACCACAACGAUAGUUUGUCAAGUUGGUGUUGUUUUAACCUUCGCAAGGACCGGGCGUAGCCACACUCGGUUCAACUAAAGUGAGAGAGACAGACACCCGCCAGUCACCUUUAAGCACGAGUGCUCGUAAUGGUGAAACCAGUCUCGCGUAAGCAUAUGCGUAAUGUCGGUUCGGGCCGCUUCAUCUCACAAUACCGCUGAACCAAGUAUGACAUGUUGGUAAGCAGUAUGACUUAUAUCGCCCACAACUCACUUAUGUUCUACUCGUGCAUAUGACAUCUACGCAUAAAACCUGGCUCGGAUGCCACUGUUGGGGAACGUAGUAAUUUGAAAAAAAAUCCUACGCACACGCAAGAUCAUGGAGAUGCAUAGCAACGAGAGGGGAGAGUAUUGUCCAUGUACCCUCAUAGACCGAAAGCGGAAGCGUUAUGACAACGCGGUUUAUGUAGUCGUACGUCUUCACGAUCCGACCGAUCCAAGUACCGAACGUACGGCACCUCCGAGUUCAGCACACGUUCAGCUCGAUGAUGAUCCCCAGACUCUGAUCCAGCAGGGUGUCGGGGAUGAGUUCCGUCAGCACGACGGCGUGGUGAUGAUGAUGAUGUUAUACCGACGCAGGGCUUCACCUAAGCACCGCAAUGAUAUGACCGAGGUGGAAUAUGGUGGAGAGGGGCACCGCACACGGCUAAGGAACGAUCACAAAGAUCAACUUGUGUGUUAUGGGGUGCCCCCUGCCCCCGUAUAUAAAGGAGGGAGGGGGUAGGUGCGGCCGGCCCCUAGGGGUGCGCCUGGAGGAGUCCUACUCCCACCGGGAGUAGGACUCCCCCCUCUUGCCAUGUAGGAGAAGGAAAGGGGGAAGGGGAAAGAGGAAAGGGGGGCACCGCCCCCCCCCCCUUCCUUAUCCUAUUCGGACUAGGGGGGAGGGGGCGCGCGACAUGCCCUUGCCGGCCCUCCUCUUCUCCCUUAGGGCCCAUGUAGGCCCAUUAACCCCCGGGGGGGUUCCGGCAACCCCCCGGUAUUCCCGUAAAAUCCCGAUUUCACCCGGAACGAUUCCGAUAUCCAAAUAUAGGCUUCCAAUAUAUUAAUCUUUAUGUCUCCACCAUUUCGAGACUCCUCGUCAUGUCCGUGAUCAUAUCCGGGACUUCGAACAACCUUCGGUACAUCAAAACUUUAAACUCAUAAUAAAAUUGUCAUCGUAACGUUAAGCGUGCGGACCCUACGGGUUUGAGAACUAUGUAGACAUGACCUAGAACUGUUUCCGGUCAAUAACUAAUAGUGGAACCUGGAUGUUCAUAUUGGCUCCUACAUAUUCUACGAAGAUCUUUAUCGGUCUGACCGCAUAACAACAUACGUAGUUCCCUUUGUCAUCGGUAUGUUACUUGCCCGAGAUUUGAUCGUCGGUGUCUCAAUACCUAGUUCAAUCUCAUUACCAGCAAGUCUCUUUACUCGUUCCAUAAUACAUCAUCUCACAACUAACUCAUUAGUUGAAAUGCUUGCAAGGCUUAAGUGAUGUGCAUUAUCGAGAGGGCCCAGAGAUACCUCUCCGACAAUCGGAGUGACAAAUCCUAAUCUUGAAAUACGCCAACCCAACAAGUACCUUUGGAUACACCUGUAGAGCACCUUUAUAAUCACCCAGUUACGUUGUGACGUUUGGUAGCACACAAAGUGUUCCUCCGGUAAACAGGAGUUGCAUAAUCUCAUAGUCAUAGGAACAUGUAUAAGUCAUGAAGAAAGCAAUAGCAGAAAACUAAACGACCAAGUGCUAAGCUAACGGAAUGGGUCAAGUCAAUCACAUCAUUCUCCUAAUGAUGUGAUCCCGUUAAUCAAAUGACAACACAUGUCUAUGGUCAGGAAACAUAACCAUCUUUGAUCAACGAGCUAGUCAAGUAGAGGCAUACUAGUGACACUCUGUUUGUCUAUGUAUUCACACAAGUAUUAUGUUUCCGGUUAAUACAAUUCUAGCAUGAAUAAUAAACAUUUAUCAUGAUAUAAGGAAAUAAAUAAUAACUUUAAUAUUGCCUCCAGGGCAUAUUUCCUUCAGAAACUGGACUUCCUAUAUAGAAUUCUUCACCUCCGUACCUUUUCGGAACUCCUCAUGACGUCCGGGAUCUCAUUCGGGACUCCGAACAACUUUCGGGUUACCAUAUACUAAUAUCUCUACAACCCUAGCGUCACUGAACCUUAAGUGUGUAGACCCUAUGGGUUCGAGAAUCACGCAGACAUGACCGAGACAGCUCUCUGGCCAAUAACCAACAGCGGGAUCUGGAUACCCAUGUUGGCUCCCACAUGUUCCAUGAUGAUCUCAUUGGAUGAACCACGAUGUCGAGGAUUCAAGUAAUCCCGUAUACAAUUCCCUUUGUCAAUCGGUAUGUUACUUGCCCGAGAUUCGAUCGUCGGUAUCCCAAUACCUUGUUCAAUCUCGUUACCGGCAAGUCACUUUACUCGUACCGUCAUGCAUGAUCCCAUGACCAAACACUUGGUCACAUUGAGCUCAUUAUGAUGAUGCAUUACCGAGUGGGCCUAGAGAUACCUCUCCGUCAUACGGAGUGACAAAUCCCAGUCUCGAUCCGUGUCAACCCAACAGAUACUUUUGGGGAUACCCAUAGUAUACCUUUAUAGUUACCCAGUUACGUUGUGACGUUUGGUACACCCAAAGCACUCCUACGGUAUCCGGGAGUUACACGAUCUCAUGGUCUAAGGAAAUGAUACUUGACAUUAGAAAAGCUCUAGCAAACGAACUACACGAUCUUGUGCUAUGCUUAGGAUUGGGUCUUGUCCAUCACAUCAUUCUCCUAAUGAUGUGAUCCCGUUAUCAACGACAUCCAAUGUACAUAGUCAGGAAACCAUGACUAUCUGUUGAUCAACGAGCUAGUCAACUAGAGCCUUACUAGGGACAUGUUGGGGUUUAUGUAUUCACACAUGUAUUAUGAUUUCCGGAUAACACAAUUAUAGCAUGAAUAAUAGACAUUAUCAUGAACAAGGAAAUAUAAUAAUAAUCAUUUUAUUAUUGCCUCUAGGGCAUAUUUCCAAUAGUCUCCCACUUGCACUAGAGUCAAUAAUCUAGUUACAUUGUGAUGAAUCGAACACCCAUAGAGUUCUGGUGUUGAUCAUGUUUUGCUCGCGGAAGAGGUUUAGUCAACGGAUCUGCGACAUUCAGAUCCAUAUGCACUUUGCAAAUAUCUAUAUCUCCAUCUUGAACAUUUUCACGAAUGGAGUUGAAGCGACGCUUGAUGUGCCUGGUCUUCUUGUGAAACCUGGGCUCCUUGGCAAGGGCAAUAGCUCCAGUGUUGUCACAGAAGAGAGUGAUCGGCCCCAACGCAUUGGGUAUGACUCCUAGGUCGGUGAUGAACUCCUCCAUCCAUAUUGCUUCAUGCGCUGCCUCCGAGGCUGCCAUGUACUCCGCUUCACAUGUAGAUCCCGCCAUGACACUUUGCUUGCAACUGCACCAGCUUACUGCCCCACCAUUCAAAAUAUACACGUAUCCGGUUUGUGACUUAGAGUCAUCCAGAUCUGUGUCGAAGCUAGCAUCGACGUAACCCUUUACGACGAGCUCUUCGUCACCUCCAUAAACGAGAAACAUAUCCUUAGUCCUUUUCAGGUACUUCAGGAUAUUCUUGACUGUUGUCUAGUGUUCCAUGUCGGGAUUACUUUGGUACCUUCCUACCAAACUUACGGCAAGGUUUACAUCAGGUCUGGUACACAGCAUGGCAUACAUAAUAGACCCUAUAGCUGAGGCAUAGGGGAUGACACUCAUCUUUUCUCUAUCUUCCGCCGUGGUCGGGCAUUGAGCCAAGCUCAAUUUCACACCUUGUAACACAGGCAAGAACCCCUUCUUGGACUGAUCCAUAUUGGACUUCUUCAAUAUCUUAUCAAGGUAUGUGCUUUGUGAAAGACCUAUGAGGCGUCUUGAUCUAUCCCUAUAGAUCUUGAUGCCUAAUAUGUAAGCAGCUUCUCCAAGGUCCUUCAUUGAAAAACACUUAUUCGAGUAGGCCUUGAUGGAGGAUGGUUGAUGAUGACGACGGCAACGAAUCCCCCUCUCCGGAGCCACAAACGGACUCCAGAUCAGCCCUCCCGAGAGAUUAGGGCUUGGCGGCGGCUCCGUGUCGUGAAACGCGAUGAAACUUUCUCCUUGAUUUUUUUUCUCCCCGAGACGGUAUAUUAGGGCUUGGCGGCGGCCCCCUGACCUUCAUUCUUUCGCCAAAAAUUCUUAUUAAUUCUGAAAAGUGCCUUCGUGGAUUUCCAGGACAUUCCGAGAAUUUUUCUUUUCUACACAUAAAACAACAUCAUGGUAGUUCUGCUGAAAACAGCGUCAAUCCGGGUUAGUUUCAUUCAAAUCAUGCAAGUUAGAGUCCAAAACAAGGGCAAAAGUGUUUGGAAAAGUAGAUACGUUGGAGACGUAUCAACUCCCCCAAGCUUAAACCUUUGCUUGUCCUCAAGCAAUUCAGUUGACAAACUGAAAGUGAUAAAGAAAAACUUUUACAAACUCUGUUUGCUCUUGUUGUUGUAAACAUGGAAAGCCAGCAUUCAAGUUUCAGCAAAUAUUAUGAACUAACCAUACUCACAAUAACACAUAGGUCUCACAAUUACUCAUAUCAAUAGCAUAAUCAGCUAGCAAGUCAUAAUAAUAGAACUCGGAUGACAACACUUUCUCAAAAUAAUCAUAACAUGAUAUAACAAAAUGGUAUCUGCUAGCCCUUUCUGAGACCGCAAAACAUAAAUGCAAAGCACCUUUAAAGAUCAAGGACUGACUAAACAUUGUAAUUCAUGGUAAAAGAGAUCCAGUCAAGUCAUACCCAAUAUAAACCAGUAAUAAUGAAUGCAAAUGACAGUGUGCUCUCCAGCGGGUGCUUUUAAUAAGAAGGAUGAUGACUCAACAUGAAAGUAAAUAGAUAGACCAUUCGCAGAGGGAAGCAGGGAUUUGUAGAGGUGCCAGAGCUCGAUUUUAAAAUAGAGAUUAAAUAACAUUUUGAGCGGCAUACUUCCGCUGUCAACGCAACAACUAUGAGAUGGUUGUAUCUUCCAUACUACAUGCAUUAUAGGCAGUUCCCAAACAGAAUGGUAAAGGUUUAUACUCCCCCAACCACCAACAAGCAUCAAUCCAUGGCUUGCUCGAAACAACGAGUGCCUCCAACAUACAACAGCCCUGGGGGAGUUUUGUUUAAUUAUUUUUAUUUGCUUUGAUCUUUUGGAUCAUGGGAUUGGGCAUCCCGGUUACCGUCCCUUUCUCGUGAAUGAGGAGCGGAGUCCACUCCUCUGAGAAUAACACACCUAGCAUGAAAGAUAAAGGCAGCACUAGUUGUAACAUGAGCUGCUCGAGCAUACAAAACAGAAUUUCAUUUGAAGGUUUGGAGUUUGGCACAUACAAAUUUACUUGGAACGGCAGGUAGAUACCGCAUAUAGGAAGGUAUAGUGGACUCAUAUGGAACAACUUUGGGGUUUAAGGAGUUUGGAUGCACAAGCAGUAUUCCCGCUUAGUACAGGUGAAGGCUAGCAAAAGACUAGGAAGCGACCAACUGAGAGAGCGACAACAGUCAGAAGCAUGCAUUAAAAUUAAUUCAUACAGGAUACAAGCAUGAGUAGGAUAUAAUCCACCAUGAACAUAAAUAUCGUAAAGGCUAUGUUGAUUUGAUUUAACUACAUGUGUGAACAUGUGCCAAGUCGAGUCACUUAAUACAUUCAAAGGAGGAUACCAUCCCAUCAUAUCACAUCAUAAUCAUUCUAAUAGCAUGUUGGCACGCAAGGUAAACCAUUAUAACUCAUAGCUAAUCAAGCAUGGCACAAGUAACUAUAAUCUCUAAAUGUCAUUGCAAAUAUGUUUACUUCAUAAUAGCUGACUCAGGAACGAUGAAUCAUCAUAUUUACAAAAACAAGAAAGGUCGAGUUCAUACCAGCUUUUCUCAUCCCAAUAAGUCCAUCAUAUAUCGUCAUUAUUGCCUUUCACUCGCACGACUGAACGAAUAUAAUAAUAAGAGUGCACGUGCAUUGGACUAAGCUGGAAUCUGCAAGCAUUCAACUCAAGAGAGAAGACAAGUAAUAUGGGCUCUAAAUAUAAAUAAUCAAUCAUGCAUAAGAGAGCCACUAAGCAUUUUCAAUACGGUCUUCUCGAUGCCCAGAAGAAAGAAAAGAAAAUAAAACUAUUUACACGGGAAAGCUCCCAACAAGUAAAAGAAGAACGAGAAAUCUUUUUGGGUUUUCAUUUUAAUUUCUACUACAAGCAAGGAAAUUAAACUAACUAUUUUUUUGGUUUUUUUCUUAAGAUUUAUCAAACACACAAGAAGAAAACUAGAAAAAGAAAUUUAAACUAGCAUGGAUAAUACAAUGAAAGAGUAUGAGCACUGAUGACUAGUGUGUGAACGUGAAUGUAAAGUCAGUGAGAAAUACAUACUCCCCCAAGCUUAGGCUUUUGGCCUAAGUUGGUCUAAUACCAAGGACCGCCUGGCUGAUAUCCAUAAGUGAAACUAGGGUUGUACUGAGAUGCAGAGGCAACAGCCUCCUGGGCAGCAGCGUGUUGGCGAGCUGCCUCCAUUCCCCUCUCAUAUUCAGUGGCUUCUUCCUUGGUGAUAACAUAUCUUCCUCUUGCCUGAUAAUCAAAAAGGUAGGGAGCAGGAAGAGUAACAGGGACGACGUUGCGUCUAUCAUAGAUUAGUCGAUAAUGGAGGAAUUGGUCAUUCCUCUCAAGAAAUUGAUGAUCAAACAUAGCUUCUUUAUCUAAAUAAGCAGGAGGUACAAUCAUAUCCCCCUCUCGUGGAGCUAUAUUAAGAAAAUUUGCCACACGGGUUGCAUAAAUUCCUCCAAAGAAAUUUCCCUUUUUACUAUUAUUAUGCAACCUACGUGCAACUAUUGCCCCCAAGUUAUAACCUCUGUAACCAGACACAACACUCUUGAGGACACAAAGAUCAGGAGCACACAAGUGACUUACUUCGUCCUUACCGUUAAUGCAUUUACCAAUAAAGAGCGCAAAGUAAUGUAUAGCAGGAAAAUGAAUGCUCCCUAUGGUAGCUUGUGCUAUGUCCCUAGAUUCUCCCAUAGUAAUACUAGCAAGAAAAUCUCUAAAUUCAGAUUUGCGAGGAUCAUUGAUAUUACCCCACUGAGGGAGUUUGCAAGCAGUUGUGAAAUCCUCUAAAUCCAUGGUAUAAGAUGUAUCAUAAAUAUCAAACAUAACACUAGGAUAAUUACGCGAAGAAAUAUAUUCGAACCUCGACACGAAGGAAUCAGUCAAAUGAUAAUAUUGAGGACACUUAUCUUGUAAGAAGUCCUCCAGCUCGGCAGUACGCACAUACGCGUCAAAUUCCUCCUUGAAGCCUGCUUCGACCAUAAAAUCAUCGGAUGGCCACUCACAAGCCCGUACAUAUGCAUCCCUCGGCAAUUUAAUGUCUUGCUCUCGUAUAGCAAUCCUUGGCCCUUUCUUUGCCGAGGAACCACCUUGGUACAUUCUUCUAAGCAUAUUUCUUUUUCUGAAAAUUUCUGAAAUUUUAGUAACUUCAAAAUAAAAGUGGAUAAAACUAAACAAGAUUGAUAGCAACUACUCCUACAAGUGCCUAGAGCCUAUAUCAUGCAUUGGAAUUGCUUGGGACCUCAAAAAUUUAACAUGCAAGCUCAAGAACAUGGUCACCUAAGCAGCAAAAAUUUACAAUGAAUAAAGCACUAGAACAAAAACUAUUUGGACCAAUGGAGGAGUCACAUACCAAGCAACAAUAUCCCAAAGCAGUUUUGUGAAUGGAGCUUUGAGCUAAGAGAUCGAAAAUUGCAGCAAAACGAGCUAGAACUCGAGCAUGAACUGGAUGAGGAUUUUUUUGGGUAGAAGAUGGAGUGUGUGCGUGUUGGCAUAAGUGGAGGGGAGUCACCAGGGGGCCACGAGAUAGGGGGCGCGCCCUACAGGGGGGGCGCCCUCCUGUCUCGUGGCCUGGUGCUUGGCCCUCUUGCAGUGUUUUCAGUGCCUAAAAUCCUCAAAUAUUCUAGAAAAAAUCAUACUAAAUUUGCAGGGCAUUUGGAGCACUUUUAUUUUCGGACUAUUUUUUAUUGCAUGGAUAAAUUGGAAAACAGACAGAUAAUACUAUUUUUGCUUUAUUUAUUCUAAAUGACAGAAAGUAAAAAGAGGGUACAGAAGGUUGUGCCUUCUAGUUUCAUCCAUCUCGUGAUCAUCAAAACGAACCCGCUAACAAGGUUGAUCAAGUCUUGUUAACAAACUCAUUCCGAAUAACACGGAAACGGAGAAAUUUCGAAAAACACUAAGUUACCUCAACGGGGAUAUGAAAAUCCCCAACAAUAAGAAUAUCAUACUUUUUCUUGACAGUAGGGAGAGGAAAUUCAAAACCUCCAAAAAUGAUAGUUGGAACUUUUUCAAUAGAAUUGAUGCUAUGAACUUGAGAUUGUUUCCUCGGAAAGCGUACCAUAUUCUCAUUACCAUUAACAUGAAAAGUGACAUUGCCUUUGUUGCAAUCAAUAACAGCCCCUGCAGUAUUAAGAAAAGGUCUACCAAGGAUAAUAGACAUACUAUUGUCCUCGGGAAUAUCAAGAAUGACAAAGUUCGUUAAGAUAGUGACAUUUGCAACCACAACAGGCACAUCCUCACAAAUACCGACAGGUAUAGCAGUUGAUUUAUCAGCCAUUUGCAAAGAUAUUUCAAUAGGUGUCAACUUAUUCAAUUCAAGUCUAUGAUAUAAAGAGAGAGGAUUAACACUAACACCGGCUCCGAGAUCACAUAAAGCAGUUCUAACAUAAUUUCUUUUAAUAGAGCAUGGUAUAGUUGGUACACCCGGAUCUCCAAGUUUCUUUGGUAUUCCACCCUUAAAAGUGUAAUUAGCAAGCAUGGUGGAAAUUUCAGCUUCCGGUAUCUUUCUUUUAUUUGUGAUGAUAUCCUUCAUAUAUUUAGCAUAAGGAUUUGCUUUAAGCAUAUCAGUUAAGCGCAUACGUAAGAAAAUAGGUCUAAUCAUUUCAGCAAAACGCUCAAAAUCCUCAUCAUCCUUUGACUUGGAUGGUUUAGGAGGAAAGGGCAUGGGUUUCUGAACCCAUGGUUCUCUUUCUUUACCGUGCUUCCUAGCAACAAAAUCUCUCUUAUCAUAACAUUGAUUCUUUGAUUGUGGGUUAUCAAGAUCAACAGCAGGUUCAAUCUCUACAUCAUUGUCUUUGCUAGGUUGAGCAUCAACAUGAACAUUAUCAUUAACAUUAUCACUAGGUUCAUGUUCAUCACCUGAUUGCGUUUCAGCAUCAGAAAUAGAAAUAUCAUUGGGAUUCUCAGGUGUUUCAACAUUAGGUUCACUAGAAGCAUGCAAAAUCCUAUCAUUAUUCUUUUUCUUCUUCUUCUUAGAAGAACUAGGAACAUCUAUAUUAUUUCUCUGAGAAUCUUGCUCGAUUCUCUUAGGGUGGCCUUCAGGAUACAAAGGUUCCUGAGUCAUUCUACCAGUUCUAGUAGCCACUCUAACAGCAAAGUCAUUUUUAUUAUUCAAUUCAUCAAGCAAAUCGUUUUGAGCUUUGAGUACUUGCUCAGCUUGAGUAGCAACCAUAGAAGCAUAUUUGCUAACGCGGUGAAGUUCAUCUUUAACUCUAGCCAGAUUAUCACCUACGCGUCCUAUCUCGAAAGCAUUAUUCUUUAACUCUCUACCAACAUAAGCAUUAAAACUUUCUUGUCUAGCCAUAAAGUCAUCACAUUCAUCUAAGCAUGGGCUAUGAAAUUUAGUAGAGGGUAUUUCAACUUCAUCAUAUCUAUAGAGAGAAUUUACGUUUACUACCUGUGUAGGGUUAUCAAGACAAUGUAGUGUUGGAAAUAUGCCCUAUAGGCAAUAAUAAAAGCAUUAUUAUUAUAUUUCCUUGUUCAUGAUAAUUGUCUUUUAUUCAUGCUAUAAUUGUAUUAUCCGGAAAUCGUAAUACACGUGUGAAUACAUAGACCACAAUAUGUCCCUAGUGAGCCUCUAGUUGACUAGCUCGUUGGUCAACAGAUAGUCAUGGUUUCCUGACUAUGGACAUUAGAUGUCAUUGACAACGGGAUCACAUCAUUAGGAGAAUGAUGUGAUGGACAAGACCCAAUCCUAAGCAUAGCACAAGAUCGUGUAGUUCGUUUUGCUAGAGCUUUUUCAAUGUUAAGUAUCUCUUCCUUAGACCAUGAGAUCGUGUAACUCCCAGAUGUCGUAGGAGUGCUUUGGGUGUACCAAACGUCACAACGUAACUGGGUGACUAUAAAGGUGCACUACAGGUAUCUCCGAAAGUGUCUGUUGGGUUGACACGGAUCGAGACUGGGAUUUGUCACUCCGUAUGACGGAGAGGUAUCUCUGGGCCCACUCGGUAAUGCAUCAUCAUAAUGAGCUCAAAGUGACCAAGUGUUUGGUCACGGGAUCAUGCAUUACGGUACGAGUAAAGUGACUUGCCGGUAACGAGACUGAACGAGGUAUUGGGAUACCGACGAUCGAGUCUCGGGCAUGUAACGUACCGAUUGACAAAGGGAAUUGUAUACGGGGUUGUUCGAAUCCUCGACAUCGUGGUUCAUCCGAUGAGAUCAUCAAGGAGCAUGUGGGAGCCAACAUGGGUAUCCAGAUCCCGCUGUUGGUUAUUGCCCGAGAGCCGUCUCGGUCAUGUCUACGUGACUCCCGAACCCGUAGGGUCUACACACUUAAGGUUCGGUGACGCUAGGGUUGUAUGAAUAUGAGUAUGCAGCAUACUGAAUGUUGUUCGGAGUCCCGGAUGAGAUCCUGUACAUCACGAGGAGUUCCGGAAUGGUCCGGAGGUAAAGAAUUAUAUAUAGGAAGUGGUAUUUCGGCCAUCGGGAAAGUUUCGGGGUCACCCGGUAUUGUACCGGGACCACCGAAAGGGUCCCGAGGGUCCACCGGGUGGGGCCACCCAUCCCGGAGGGCUCCAAGGGACGAAGUGGGGAGGGGAACCAGCCCAUAGUGGGCUGGUGCGCCCCCCUUGGCCCACCCCCUGCGCCUAGGGUUGAAACCCUAGGGUGGGGGGGCGCCCCACUUGCCUUGGGGGGCACUCCACCCCCCUUGGCCGCUGCCCCCUUAGGAGAUUGGAUCUCCCAGGGCCGGCGCCCCCCCCCCCUGGGGGCCUAUAUAAAUGGAGGGGGGAAGGGGGCAGCCGCACCCUGAAGUCCUGGCGCCCCCUCCCCCUGCUACACCUCUUCCUCCUCCGUCACGCGCUUGGCGAAGCCCUGCCGGAGUGCUGCUGCUCCACCACCACCACGCCGUUGUGCUGCUGUUGGAGCCAUCAUCAUCAACCUCUCCUUCCCCCUUGCUGGAUGAAGAAGGAGGAGACGUCAUCCGCUCCGUACGUGUGUUGAACGCGGAGGUGCCGUCCGUUUGGCGCUAGGAUCUCCGGUGAUAGGAUCACAACGAGAACGACUACUUCAACUCUGUUCUUUUAAACGCUUCCGCUCGCGAUCUACAAAGUGGUAUGUAGAUGCAUCUCCCCUGACUCGUUGCUUAGAUGAACUCAUAGAUGGAUCUUGGUGAAACCGUAGGAAAAAUUUUAAUUUUCUGCAACGUUCCCCAACAGUGGCAUCAUGAGCUAGGUCUAUGCGUAGUUCUCUAUUGCACGAGUAGAACACAAUUUUGUUGUGGGCGUAGAUUUUGUCAACUUGCUUGCCGCUACUAGUCUUAUCUUGCUUUAGAUGUAUUGUGAGAUGAAGCGGCCCGGACCAACCUUACACGUACGCUUACGUGAGACCGGUUCCACCGACUAACAUGCACUAGUUGCAUAAGGUGGCUGGCGGGUGUCUGUCUCUCCCACUUUAGUUGAAGCGGAUUCGAUGAAAAGGGUCCUUAUGAAGGGUAAAUAGAAGUUGACAAGAUCACGUUGUGGUUAUUCGUAGGUAAGAAAACGUUCUUGCUAGAACCCAAUUGCAGCCACGUAAAAGAUGCAACAACAAUUAGAGGACGUCUAACUUGUUUUUGCAGCAAUUGUCAUGUGAUGUGAUAUGGCCAGAAGUUGUGAUGAAUGAUGAAUAAUAUAUUGUGAUGUAUGAGAUCAUGUUCUUGUAAUAGGAAUCACGACUUGCAUGUCGAUGAGUAUGACAACCAGCAGGAGCCAUAGGAGUUGUCUUUAUUUUUGUAUGACCUGCGUGUCAUUGAAGAACGCCAUGUAAAUUACUUUACUUUGUUGCUAAACGCGUUAGCCAUAGAAGUAGAAGUAGUCGUUGGCGUGACAACUUCAUGAAGACACGAUGAUGGAGAUCAUGAUGAUGGAGAUCAUGGUGUCAUGCCGGUGACGAAGAUGAUCAUGGAGCCCCGAAGAUGGAGAUCGAAGGAGCUAUAUGAUAUUGGCCAUAUCAUGUCACUAUUAUAUAAUUACAUGUGAUGUUUAUUAUGUUUAUGCAUCUUGUUUACUUAGAACGACAGUAGUAAAUAAGAUGAUCCCUUACAACAAUUUCAAGAAGUGUUCUCCCCUAACUGUGCACCGUUGCUAAAGUUCGUCGUUUCAAAGCACCACGUGAUGAUCGGGUGUGAUAGAUCCUUACGUUCACAUACAACGGGUGUAAGACAGUUUUACACAUGCAAAACACUUAGGGUUAACUUGACGAGCCUAGCAUGUACAGACAUGGCCUCGGAACACGGAGACCGAAAGGUCGAACACGAGUCGUAUGGAAGAUACGAUCAACAUGAGAAUGUUCACCGACGAUGACUAGUCCGUCUCACGUGAUGAUAGGACACGGCCUAGUCGACUCGGAUCGUGUAAUACUUAGAUGACUAGAGGGAUGUCUAAUCUGAGUGGGAGUUCAUUAAAAUAAUUUGAUUAGAUGAACUUAAUUAUCAUGAACUUAGUCUAAAACUUUUUGCAUAAUAUGUCUUGUAGAUCAAAUGGCCAACGCUCAUGUCAACAUGAACUUCAACGCGUUCCUAGAGAAAACAAAGUUGAAAGAUGAUGGCAGCAACUAUACGGACUGGGUCCGAAACCUGAGGAUCAUCCUCAUAGCUGCCAGGAAACAAUAUGUCCUAGAAGGACCGCUAGGUGACGCUCCCGUCCCAGAGAACCAAGACAUUAUGAAUGCUUGGCAGUCUCAUGCUGAUGAUUACUCCCUCGUUCAGUGCGGCAUGCUUUACAGCUUAGAACCGGGGCUCCAAAAGCGUUUUGAGCAACACGGAGCAUAUGAGAUGUUCGAGGAGCUGAAACUAGUUUUCCAAGCUCAUGCCCGGGUCGAGAGAUAUGAAGUCUCUGACAAGUUCUAUAGUUGUAAGAUGGAGGAAAAUAGUUCUGUCAGUGAGCACAUACUCAAAAUGUCUGGGUUGCACAACCGCCUGCCCCAGCUGGACAUUAACCUCCCGGAUGAGGCGGUCAUUGACAGAAUCCUUCAGUCGCUCCGGCCAAGCUACAAGAGCUUUGUGAUGAACUACAAUAUGCAGGUGAUGGUGAAGACCAUUCCUGAAGUAUUUUCAAUGCUGAAGUCAGCAGAGGUUGAAAUCAAGAAAGAACAUCAAGUGUUGAUGGUCAAUAAGACCACUAAGUUCAAAAGGGGCAAGGGUAAGAAGAACUUCAAGAAGGACGACAAAGAUGUUGCCGCGCCCGGUAAGCCAGUUGCCAGGAAGAAGUCAAAGAAUGGACCCAAGCCUGAGACUGAGUUCUUUCACUACAAGGGGAAGGGUCACUGGAAGCGGAACUGCCCCAAAUACUUAGCGGAUAAGAAGGCCGGCAACACCAAAGGUAUAUUUGAUAUACAUGUAAUUUAUGUGUACCUUACCAGUACUCGUAGUAACUCCUGGGUAUUUGAUACCGGUGUCGUUGCUCAUAUUUGUAACUCACAGCAGGAGCUGCGGAAUAAGCAGAGACUGGCGAAGGACGAGGUGGCGAUGCGCGUCGGGAAUGGUUCCAGAGUCGAUGUGAUCGCCGUCGGCAUGCUACCUCUACAUUUACCUACGGGAUUAGUUUUGAACCUUAAUAAUUGUUAUUUGGUGCCAAGUUUGAGCAUGAACAUUGUAUCUGGAUCUCGUUUGAUACGAGAUGGCUACUCAUUUAAAUCCGAGAAUAAUGGUUGUUCUAUUUAUAUGAGAGAUAUGUUUUAUGGUCAUGCCCCGAUGGUCAAUGGUUUAUUCUUAAUGAAUCUCGAACGUAGUGUUACACAUAUUCAUAGCGUGAAUACCAAAAGAUGCAAAGUUGAUAACGGUAGUCCCACAUACUUGUGGCACUGCCGCCUUGGUCACAUUGGUGUCAAGCGCAUGAAGAAGCUCCAUGCUGAUGGACUUUUAGAGUCUCUUGAUUAUGAAUCAUUUGACACAUGCGAACCAUGCCUCAUGGGCAAAAUGACCAAGACUCCGUUCUCCGGAACAAUGGAGCGAGCAACCAACUUGUUGGAAAUCAUACAUACCGAUGUGUGCGGUCCAAUGAGUGUUGAGGCUCGCGGAGGAUAUCGUUAUGUUCUCACUCUCACAGAUGACUUGAGUAGAUAUGGGUAUGUCUACUUGAUGAAACAUAAGUCUGAGACCUUUGAAAAGUUCAAGGAAUUUCAGAAUGAAGUAGAGAAUCAACGUGACCGAAAGAUAAAAUUCUUACGAUCGGAUCGUGGAGGAGAAUAUUUAAGUCACAAAUUUGGUACACACUUAAGAAAAUGUGGAAUCGUUUCACAACUCACGCCGCCUGGAACACCUCAGCGAAACGGUGUGUCCGAACGUCAUAAUCGCACUCUAUUAGAUAUGGUGCGAUCUAUGAUGUCUCUUACCGAUUUACCGCUAUCAUUUUGGGGAUACGCUCUAGAGACAGCUACAUUCACUUUAAAUAGGGCAUCGUCUAAAUCCGUUGAGACGACACCGUAUGAAUUAUGGUUUGGGAAGAAACCUAAGAUGUCGUUUCUAAAAGUUUGGGGAUGCGAUGCUUAUGUCAAGAAACUUCAACCUGAAAAGCUCGAACCCAAGUCGGAAAAAUGCGUCUUCAUAGGAUACCCCAAAGAAACCAUUGGGUAUACCUUCUACUUAAGAUCCGAGGGCAAGAUCUUUGUUGCCAAGAACGGAUCCUUUCUGGAAAAAGAGUUUCUCUCGAAAGAAGUAAGUGGGAGGAAAGUAGAACUCGAUGAAGUACUACCUCUUGAACGGGAAAGUAGUGCAGCUCAGGAAAAUGUUCCUGUGAUGCCUACACCAACUGAAGAGGAAAAUAAUGAUGAUGAUCAAGGUACUUCGGAUCAAGUUGCUACUGAACUUCGUAGGUCCACAAGGACACGUUCCUCACCAGAGUGGUACGGCAACCCUGUCCUGGAAAUCAUGUUGUUAGACAACGGUGAACCUUCGAACUAUGAAGAAGCGAUGGCGGGCCUAGAUUCCAACAAAUGGCUAGAAGCCAUGAAAUCCGAGAUAGAAUCCAUGUAUGAAAACAAAGUAUGGACUUUGACUGACUUGCCCGAUGAUCGGCGAGCGAUAGAAAACAAAUGGAUCUUUAAGAAGAAGACGGAUGCGGAUGGUAAUGUUACCAUCUAUAAAGCUCGACUUGUCGCUAAAGGUUAUCGGCAAGUUCAAGGGAUUGACUACGAUGAGACUUUCUCUCCCGUAGCGAAGCUUAAGUCCGUCUGAAUCAUGUUAGCAAUUGCCGCAUACUAUGAUUAUGAGAUAUGGCAGAUGGACGUCAAAACGGCAUUCCUUAAUGGGCAUCUUAAGGAAGAACUGUAUAUGAUGCAGCCGGAGGGUUUUGUCGAUCCUAAGAAUGCUAACAAAGUAUGCAAGCUCCAGCGAUCCAUUUAUGGGCUGGUGCAAGCAUCUCGGAGUUGGAACAUUCGCUUUGAUGAAAUGAUCAAAGCGUUUGGGUUUAUGCAGACUUAUGGAGAAGCCUGCGUUUACAAGAAAGUGAGUGGGAGCUCUGUAGCAUUUCUCAUAUUAUAUCUAGAUGACAUACUUUCGAUGGGAAAUGAUAUAGAAUUCUUGGACAGCAUUAAGGCCUACUUGAAUAAGUGUUUUUCAAUGAAGGACCUUGGAGAAGCUGCUUAUAUAUUAGGCAUCAAGAUCUAUAGAGAUAGAUCGCGACGCCUCAUAGGUCUUUCACAAAGCACAUACCUUGAUAAGAUUUUGAAGAAGUUCAAAAUGGAUCAGUCCAAGAAGGGGUUCUUGCCUGUAUUGCAAGGUGUGAGAUUGAGCUCGGCUCAAUGCCCGACCACGGCAAAAGAUAAAGAAGAGAUGAGCGUCAUCCCCUAUGCCUCAGCCAUAGGAUCUAUUAUGUAUGUCAUGCUGUGUACCAGACCUGAUGUAAACCUUGCCGUAAGUUUGGUAGGAAGGUACCAAAGUAAUCCCGGCAAGGAACACUGGAAAGCGGUCAAGAAUAUCCUAAAGUACCUAAAAAGUACGAAGGACAUGUUUCUCGUUUAUGGAGGUGACGAAGAGCUCGUCGUAAAGGGUUACGUUGACGCUAGCUUCGACACAGAUCUAGAUGACUCUAAGUCACAAACCGGAUACGUGUAUAUGUUGAAUGGUGGAGCAGUAAGCUGGUGCAGCUGCAAGCAGAGCGUCGUGGCAGGAUCUACAUGUGAAGCGGAGUACAUGGCAGCCUCGGAGGCAGCGCAUGAAGCAAUUUGGGUGAAGGAGUUCAUCACCGACCUAGGAGUCAUACCCAAUGCGUCGGGGCCGAUCAAACUCUUCUGUGACAACACUGGAGCUAUUGCCCUUGCCAAGGAGCCCAGGUUUCACAAGAAGACCAGGCACAUCAAGCGUCGUUUCAACUCCAUCCGUGAAAAUGUUCAAGAUGGAGACAUAGAUAUUUGCAAAGUACAUGCGGAUCUGAAUGUCGCAGAUCCAUUGACUAAACCUCUCUCGCGAGCAAAACAUGAUCAACACCAGAACUCUAUGGGUGUUCGAUUCAUCACAAUGUAACUAGAUUAUUGACUCUAGUUCAAGUGGGAGACUGUUGGAAAUAUGCCCUAGAGGCAAUAAUAAAAGCAUUAUUAUUAUAUUUCCUUGUUCAUGAUAAUUGUCUUUUAUUCAUGCUAUAAUUGUAUUAUCCGGAAAUCGUAAUACACGUGUGAAUACAUAGACCACAAUAUGUCCCUAAUGAGCCUCUAGUUGACUAGCUCGUUGGUCAACAGAUAGUCAUGGUUUCCUGACUAUGGACAUUAGAUGUCAUUGACAACGGGAUCACAUCAUUAGGAGAAUGAUGUGACGGACAAGACCCAAUCCUAAGCAUAACACAAGAUCGUGUAGUUCGUUUUGCUAGAGCUUUUUCAAUGUUAAGUAUCCCUUCCUUAGACCAUGAGAUCGUGUAACUCCCGGAUGCCGUAGGAGUGCUUUGGGUGUACCAAACGUCACAACGUAACUGGGUGACUAUAAAGGUGCACUACAGGUAUCUCCGAAAGUGUCUGUUGGGUUGACACGGAUCGAGACUGGGAUUUGUCACUCUGUAUGACGGAGAGGUAUCUCUGGGCCCACUCGGUAAUGCAUCAUCAUAAUGAGCUCAAAGUGACCAAGUGUUUGGUCACGGGAUCAUGCAUUACGGUACGAGUAAAGUGACUUGCCGGUAACGAGACUGAACGAGGUAUUGGGAUACCGACGAUCGAGUCUCGGGCAUGUAAUGUACCGAUUGACAAAGGGAAUUGUAUACGGGGUUGUUCGAAUCCUCGACAUCGUGGUUCAUCCGAUGAGAUCAUCGAGGAGCAUGUGGGAGCCAACAUGGGUAUCCAGAUCCCGCUGUUGGUUAUUGCCCGAGAGCCGUCUCGGUCAUGUCUACGUGACUCCCGAACCCGUAGGGUCUACACACUUAAGGUUCGGUGAUGCUAGGGUUGUAUGAAUAUGAGUAUGCAGCAUACCGAAUGUUGUUUGGAGUCCCGGAUGAGAUCCCGGACGUCACGAGGAGUUCCGGAAUGGUCCGGAGGUAAAGAAUUAUAUAUAGGAAGUGGUAUUUCGGCCAUCGGGAAAGUUUCGGGGUCACCCGGUAUUGUACGGGACCACCGAAAGGGUCCCGGGGGUCCACCGGGUGGGGCCACCCAUCUCGGAGGGCUCCAAGGGCCGAAGUGGGGAGGGGAACCAGCCCAUAGUGGGCUGGUGCGCCCCCCUUGGCCCACCCCCUGCGCCUAGGGUUGAAACCCUAGGGUGGGGGGCGCCCCACUUGCCUUGGGGGGCACUCCACCCCCCUUGGCCGCCGCCCCCUUGGGAGAUUGGAUCUCCCAGGGCCGGCGCCCCCCCUAGGGGCCUAUAUAAAGGGAGUGGGGAAGGGGGCAGCCGCACCCUAAAGUCCUGGCGCCCCCUCCCCCUGCUACACCUCUUCCUCCUCCGUCACGCGCUUGGCGAAGCCCUGCCGGAGUGCUGCUGCUCCACCACCACCACGUCGUUGUGCUGUUGCUGGAGCCAUCAUCAUCAACCUCUCCUUCCCCCUUGUGGGAUCAAGAAGGGGGAGACAUCAUCCGCUCCGUACGUGUGUUGAACGCGGAGGUGCCGUCCGUUCGGCGCUAGGAUCUCCGGUGAUAGGAUCACAACGAGAACGACUACUCCAACUCCGUUCUUUUGAACGCUUCCGCUCGCGAUCUACAAAGUGGUAUGUAGAUGCAUCUCCCCUGACUCGUUGCUUAGAUGAACUCAUAGAUGGAUCUUGGUGAAACCGUAGGAAAAAUUUUAAUUUUCUGCAACGUUCCCCAACAUGUAGUUCUUUAGGCGGUAUAUUAAGACCAUGUAUUUCUUCAAUAGGUGGUAAAUUCUUAACAUCUUCAGCUUUAAUACCUGUUUCUUUCAUUCAUUUCUUUGCCUCUUGCAUAUCUUCAGGACUGAGAAAUAAAACACCUCUCUUCUUCGGAGUGGGUUUAGGAAUAGGCUCAGGAGUUGGCUCAAUUGGUUCAGGAAUUACUUUAGGAACUGGCUCGGGAAGAGUCCAAUUAUUUUCACUAGUCAACAUAUUAUUCAAUAGUAUUUCAGCUUCGUCGACUGUUCUUUCCCUGAAAACACAACCAGCACAACUAUCCAAGUGGUCCUUGGAAGCAUCGGUUAGUCCAUUAUAAAAGAUAUCAAGUAUUUCAUUUUUCUUAAGAGAAUGAUCAGGCAAAGCAUAAAGUAACCGGAGAAGCCUCCUCCAAGCUUGUGGGAGACUCUCUUCUUUGAUUUGCACAAAAUUAUAUAUUUCCCGCAAGGCAGCUUGUUUCUUAUGAGCAGGGAAAUAUUUAGCAGAGAAGUAAUAAAUCAUAUCCUGGGGACUACGCACACAACCAGGAGCAAGAGAAUUAUACCAAGUCUUAGCAUCACCCUUUAAUGAGAACGGAAAUAUCUUAAGGAUAUAUAAAUAGCGAGACUUCUCAUCAUGAGUAAAUAGGGUAGCUAUAUCAUUCAACUUUGUAAGAUGUGCCACAACAGUUUCAGAUUCAAGGCCAUAAAAAGGAUCAGAUUCAACUAAAGUAAUAAUAUCAGGAUCAACAGAGAAUUCAUAAUCCUUAUCAGUAACACAGAUAGGUGAAGUAGCAGAAGUAGGAUCGGGUUUCAUUCUAGCAUUAAGACACUGCUGCUUCCAUUUAGCUAAUAAUUUCUUAAGAUCAGAUCUAUCAUUGCAAGCAAGAAUUUCCAUAGCAGCUUUUUCAUUCAUAACAUAACCCUUAGGAACAACAGGUAAAAGAUAAUCAUUGGGGGAACGUUCAUCAUCACUAUCAUCACUAGCAUCUUCAAUAUUUUCAUUCCCCCUAACUCUAGCAAGUUGUUCAUCAAGAAAUUCACCUAAUGGCAAAGUAGUAUCAUGCACAGAAGUAGUUUCAUCAUGCAUAGCAGAAGUGGCAUCAUCAAUAACAUGCAACAUAUCAGAAUUCAUAGCAGUAGCAGGUUUAGGUGUCGCAAGCUUACUAAUAACGGAAGGAGAAUCUAGUGCAGAGCUAGAUGGUAGUUCCUUACCUUCCCUCGUAGUUGAGGGAUAAAUCUUGGUCUUAGCGUCUUUCAAGUUCUUCAUAGUGAUCAACAGAUAUAAAUCCCAAGUGACUCAGAGAAUAGAGCUAUGCUCCCCAGCAACGGCGCUAGAAAUUAGUCUUGAUAACCCACAAGUGUAGGGGAUCGCAACAGCUUUCGAGGGUAGAAUAUUCAACCCAAAUUUAUUGAUUCAACACAAGGGGAGCCAAAGAAUAUUCUCAAGUAUUAGCAGUUGAGUUGUCAAUUCAACCACACCUGGAUAACUUAAUAUCUGCAGCAAGGUAUUUAGUAGCAAAGUAGUAUGGAAGUAAUGGUAACAAUGGCAAAAGUAAUAGUAGCAGUUUUGUAGUAAUUGUAACAGUGGCAACGGUAAAGUAAAUAAGCAAAGCACAAUAUGUGAAAAGCUCGUAUGCAUUGGAUUAGUGAUGGAUAAUUAUGUCGGAUGCGGUUCAUCAUGUAACAGUUAUAACAUAGGGUGACACAGAACUAACUCCAGUUCAUCAAUGUAAUGUAGGCAUGUAUUCCGAAUAUAGUCAUACAUGCUUAUGGCAAAGAACUUCCAUGACAUAUUUUGUCCUACCCUCCUGUGGCAGCGGGGUCCUAUUGGAAACUAAGGGAUAUUAAGGCCUCCUUUUAAUAGAGUACCGGACCAAAGCAUUAGCACUUAGUGAAUACAUGAACUCCUCAAACUACGGUCAUCACCGAGAAGUAUCCCAAUUAUUGUCACUUUGGGGUUGUCAGAUCAUAACACAUAAUAGGUGACUAUAGACUUGCAAGAUAGGAUCAAGAACUCACAUAUAUUCAUGAAAACAUAAUAGGUUCAGAUCUGAAAUCAUGGCACUCGGGCCCUAGUGACAAGCAUUAAGCAUAGCAAAGUCAUAGCAACAUCAAUCUCAGAACAUAAUGGAUAAUAGGGAUCAAACCCUAACAAAACUAACUUGAUUACAUGGUAAAUAUCAUCCAACCCAUCAUCGUCCAGCAAGCCUACGAUGGAAUUACUCACGCACGGCAGUAAGCAUCAUGAAAUUGGUGAUGGAGGAUGGUUGAUGAUGACGACGACGACGAAUCCCCCUCUCCGGAGCCCCGAACGGACUCCAGAUCAGCCCUCCCGAGAGAGAUUAGGGCUUGGCGGCAGCUCCGUAUCGUAAAACACGAUGAAACUUUCUCUUUAAUUUUUUUCUCCGCGAACGCAAAUAUAUGGAGUUGGAGUUGAGGUCGGUGAAGGUCCAGGGGGCCCAUGAGGCAGGGGGCGCGCCCCCACCCUCGUGGAUAGGGUAUGGGCCCCCUGGUGCUGAUUCUUUCGCCAGUAUUUUUUAUUAAUUCUGAAAAGCUGCUCGGCGAUUUUCAGGUCAUUCCGGGAACUUUUAUUUCUGCAAAAAAAUAACACCAUGGCAGUUCUAGUGAAAACAGCGUCAGUCCGGGUUAGUUCCAUUCAAAUCAUGCAAGUUAGAGUCCAAAACAAGGGCAAGAGUGUUUGGAAAAGUAGAUAUGACGAAGACGUAUCAACGUCGACUACAUGACACUUCACCAUUAUUUGGGCCUAGGGGAAGGCAUUGUGAAGUAAUAAGUAGAUGAUGGGUUGCUAGAUUGACAGAAGCUUAAACCCUAGUUUAUGUGUUGCUUCAUAAGGGGCUGAUUUGGAUCCAUAUGUUUCACGUUAUCGUUAGGUUUACCUUAAUUCCUUUCGUAGUUGCGGAUGCUUGCGAGAGGGGUUAAUCAUAAGUGGGAUGCUUGUCCAAGGAAGGGCAGUACCCAAGCACCGGUCCACCCACAUAUCAAAUUAUCAAAGUAACGAACGCGAAUCAUAUGAGCAUGAUGAAAACUAGCUUGACGAUGAUUCCCAUGUGUCCUCGGGAGCGCUUUGCUUUAUAUAAGAGUUUGUCCAGGAUUUUCCUUUGCUACAAAAAGGAUUGGGCCACCUUGCUGCACCUUGUUACUUUUGUUACUUGUUACCCGUUACAAACUACCUUAUCACAAAACUAUCUGUUACCGAUAAUUUCAGUGCUUGCAGAGAAUACCUUACCAAAAACCGCUUGUCAUUUCCUUCUGCUCCUCGUUGGGUUUGACACUCUUACUUAUCGAAAGGACUACGAUAGAUCCCCUAUACUUGUGGGUCAUCAUCGGACCAUUAGAGCACUCAGUCUGGCGGUUUAAGUAGAAGAAUUCCUUGAAGAGAGCAACAGUGGGCUGUACUUGCAAAUAAACUUCGCAAAAGAUUUGGAAGUGGCAAAGGUUUGUUAUUGAAUUCAGGCCUAUGUCUCGAGGAUGGAGAUUGCAAUAGUGUAAGACGUCGCGAAAAAAUUUCGACCCACGCGGAGUAAAGCCUCUGAGGAUAUGAUCAGUAAAAACUAUCACCUCUCCUUCAGCAGGAUUUGGGACAUUUUCUCCUCGGCUGAGUAGCCAGCCUAUCUCCUCUUGAACUGCCAAAAGACCUUAAUCUACAUAGUCCUUAAGCAUUUGUUCAAUGAUCAAGGAAGGCCCCAAUUGCAAAGAGUGGUCUUUGCCAUAUUGAGUUGCCUAAAAGACAAUAGAAAGGCGAAUUAUUUAAUAAACAUGAAGAUAAGUCGCCCAAAUAGUGGUGAGUUAAUUAAAACGAGGCAAUUUCUGGAACUUUGGCGAGUUAUAAAUAUAUUGGUGAGUCGCCCAAAAAGCAAUGGGUGGGUCAAUUAAGAUUCAGGAUUGCUAGAAUUUUACCAAGUAUGGAGCAAACAAGAUUCAGUGUGGAGCAGUUAUAUUUACGGAUCUGAAGGUGGUUCAGAAAAGAAAAAGAAUUACUAAACUUAAAAAGUUGUGGUGGAAGAACUGGCAAGAUAUUCAUUGUUUCUAGAAGGAAACAAAGGUUGUUUAAAUUUGAGAUGGCGCUAAAACUGCUACCGCAAUACCUCUCUGAUAUUUUCGGAUCAAAAAUAGCUUUUGUUCGAAGGAUAUGAUGAACUACAAUGAACUCCAACGAACUCUAUGAACUCAAGUGACCUAAUGCAGAUCUGAGAAAGGAGUAAAAUAGUACUUGGUUGAGGUGGAGAAAAGCGGAGGCAUGCCGCUGGAUCUCAACGGUGACAAGGCAGUACUAUGACUUUGACUGAAAAAGGCAAGCAUGGUUCGAUGGAUGUGGCGGAGCUUUGGCUGCGACGGACGUGUGAGGAAGAAGAAGAAGUGGAGGCGACGAGGUAAAAGUGAAAUAGGCGGACCCCCAUGCCUAUUUAUAAGGAAAAGGAGGGAACGGUAAAGUCACAUGCGAAGACCAAGGAGGCGCAACAAAUUCCGCAGCAAAAGGAUGCCUCGAUUUUUGGAAUGGUGGAUUUAUACAAAGAUCCGCUAUGACGUCAUGAGGAUUUUUCUGAAUUUACAAAAGUGACAUCAUCUUUUCUUAUGGCGGGUUAUGAAGAGUUGUUCAAGGUUAAGCAUUCAGAAGAAUCAAAGAAGGUUCGCCAACCAGAAGGAUUGAAGAUUGACAUGAACAAGUUCAAAUCAAUCUGGGGCCUAAUGUUGGGGAUAUAAUCCCACAGUGUAACCCGCCCUAGAGUGACCGGGUUAGGCUGUUGGCGACUUAACAGUUAGGCCUUAGAAAGGCCCAAGCGAUCAAGAUGCAGGGCCAGGAAGGUGACUUACGAGAUGGACCGGAUAGACGCCCAACGAUAGAAGUCGGCGUGUGGCCCAGAAGUGUAAGCCGCCUCAUGGCGACUUACUGAAGAAGGCAAGGCGACUCAGAGCCGAGAUCGGUCUCGGAGCAUGACCCGACCCAGACUCUUGUGAAGCCUAGUGCCUCGACCUGUGUAUAUAAAGGCGAGUCCCUACGGGGGGUAAAGUUAGGUUACAAUCAAUCGAUAGCUAGGUCAAGCGAAUCUGCUCUCUUGUAAUCGAUACUCAAGCAACACAACACAAAGCAGGACGUAGGCUUUUACCUCGAUCGUGAGGGGCCGAACAUGGGUAAACUCGUGUCUCUCAUCCCGCUCAACCUCUACAAGCUAAUCACUAUAGUGAUGGCCUUGCACCUUAGUCCUUUCACUAGGGCAUCUGCCGUGUUAAAACCACGACAGGAGUGGACCGCGACUCUUCUGUGUUCCUCGUCUUUGAGGAUUCCCCAAUCAAGCAUGGACGUGGGCUGCGGCAGGAAGACGCUCAUCUCCCCUCUUAUGUUCGUCACUACCAUGGACCCGUUACAACAAAUCCUCGAUGUGCCGACGAGAAAGGGUUUUCUCCAUAAGAUCCGAGGAAGGGGAUCAUGGUGCGGACCUCUACUUACACGGACGACGCGGUCGUGUUCAUGGCUCUGAUCAAAAGAGAUGUCGAUAAUCUUACGGUUAUUCUGACAGACUUUGGGGAGGUCUUGGGCCUUUGCACCACCUUCCUUAAAAGUUUGAUGGUCACCAUUCGUCGCAACCACCUUGACUUGAUGCACAUCACCCAAAGUUUGUUGGUACAUCUAGAGCUUCCUUCCUGCUGCGCCACUUGGUGCUCCCCUUCUCCGUUUGGCAAGUCAAGUUGGUUGACUUGCAAUUCCUUGUGGAUAAAGUGGCGAGCAAAUUGACAAUUUACGAGUGUCAAAACAUCACCACCAUUGGGCGUGUGACCCUUGUCAAGUUUGUGACUACUUCCCAAGUGGUCUACUUAAUCACACCUCUUGUCAUUCCACCAAGCACCAUCCGCAUCAUAAACAUUCUCGAGAAGGCUUUCCUUUGGGCCGUAUCAGAUAAGACAAUGGGGGGGGAUGUAAGGUUAAUUGGGAGAUUGUUUGUCGACCACAAGAAUAUGGUGGGCUUGGGAUCCUCAACACUAACAAGUUCGCAUGUGCUUUGGUUUGGGAUGGCAUGCGUAUGAGUGGAAGGAGCUGACGAAGAUGUGGUUCGAAACGGGAAACCUGUGUGAUGAGGAGGAUCUAAACUUUUUUUAUGCCUCAACCACUAUCACCAUUGGAAACGGCACGAACACCCCCUGUUGGGAUUCUCCUUGGCUCUUGGGCGCAAGCCCAACUGCAUUAUUCCUCUCAUCCAUAAGGCCUCUUUGCAGAAAAUUUGGAAGGUGUCGGAGGCCCUCAAAAAUAACGCAUGGAUCCUUAAGAUCAGACCUUCCGCCGUUGUUUCCUUUGAGCACAUUCGACAUUUUUUUCACCAUUUGGAUGCUUUUGCAUGAGGUCCAUCUUGAUGAUCUCGCUGAGGAUGAUAUUUCUUGGAAACAUACGAUAAGUGGGCUCUACUCGGCGGCCUCCAUCUAUAAGGCACAGUUUCUCGGCUUGGUGCUCUCCCCCAUAUGGACCAAAUGAUUUGGAAAGUUUGGACCCCUCCAAAAGUCAAGUUUUUUUUACUUGGUUGGCUCUUCAGGACAUAAUUUGGAUUGUUGAUAGAUUGUUCAAAUGCGGUUGGCUAAAUUCUGGUCCUUGCCCCCUGUGCACACGAGGGUGCAAGAAUGUGGGCUUCGUCUUUUCUUCUCUUGCCUCUACACCCCGAGGCUUCAAAACUUGGUUAUUGAAAAAUCCACAUUGUUGACAUGGACACCUCUUCAUGGCAUUUGAUUUAACCAACUGAGGAGUGGUGGGCAAGCACAAGCGUCGUGGGCACCCUCAACGGAAAAGCCAAGGUUUCACUUACCAUGCUUGUGUCAUGGGCGGUUUGGAAUGAGAGAAACACAUGAGUUUUGCGGCAUAAGAGCGCCCCGUCACUAAUCUUGCUAAACACUAUCACAGUCGAGGCGAACCUUUGGGUCUAAGCCGGGGAGAAGAAGUUAGGGCCAGUCUUUUGCGCGAGUUAUCAUUCAUGUGGCACUUUGGGUGUGCGUUGUAGCAAACUCUAUUCUCUCCUUAUUUAAUAGAUUGGGCUAAAUUUUUGCAUCCGUUUAAAAAAAAUGGUAUCUGAAUGUUUUUUUUUAAACACGCAAUUGUGUACCGUAUUUUUAUAGAAGAGGAGAACAAAAUUUACAAGAGUCCACACGGCGAUGCGAACAUCAUCAUGGGAGCACCCACUCCACAGAGUGGUAUCUGAUUGUGAAAACGAAUUUGUGUGUCCUUGCCGGUCACUGUCGGUGCACACUCGGAACGACACAAAAGGUGAGCAGAUACAUUGCAACAUCUAACAUGACAGAUUUAGCUCUUUUUUUCUUCUUAAGGGAACAGGGCAGGUUCAGCUAGGCACGUCCACUGGGACGCAGCUUCAGUGACUUUAUAAAGCUAAGUCUCACCAUAACUAAGUCCCUUUUAUCAGCCGUUUAUUAAAGAUCCGACGUACGAGAUUGACCUAUUUUUCAUACUGAAAAUUUUAAAGUAUUUAGAAAAAAUUGAAAAAAUUCCAAUAAAUCAUAAAUGUUUCAUUUUGUAUUCUAGGAAAGUUUCAACCCAUUUGGAUGUAUGGUUUGUGAUUAAAUAGCCUUUUGAGCUUCAAUAAAUAAAAAAUGUGUAUUUGUAAGCGAUACAUCCAAAUGGAUUGAAAUUUUCACGGAAUACUAGUCGAAAUAUUUAUGAUUUAUUGGGUUUUUUUAAUUUUUCUGAACACUUUGACAAAAUUCAUUUGAAAUAUGGAUCAAUCCGAUACGUCGGAUCUUUAAUGGACGGUUGAUAGAGGGGGUUCAGUUACGAAGAGACUUGGCUUCAUGAAGUCACUGAAGCUGCGUCCCGUCCAUCUAUAUUCUAUACUACUAUUAAAAAAGCAAGCAUGAAUUAUCCUAAAGCCACACAACAAAUUAUACACAGGAUAACCAGAACCUUCCGAUCAAGUCAACUUAGACAUAUCCUACUGUCCAUAUUAUAUCGAUAGUCUGAUAUUGAAAUGAACGUCUCAGAUUGAAUGUUCUGCCGAGCAGACGUCCUGCCGCUCCGCUUCCUUCUACGCGGCCCCGCCCAUUCCCUGAUUUCUCGGAUGGAUUGCAACUAAUCAUGAUUCAUUCCCCGAUUCUUCUUUCUCCAUGCCCCUAAUUCCCUCAAGAAAAAGAAAGAACGGAUCCACCAUCGCUUCUCCCUUCCCCUACCUCCGAAUCUGCCCCGAGUUACCCUGCCUCCGGUGGCCGCCCGCGCUCUUGCAAGCCGCCUACGGCCUCCUCUGCAGGUCAGCCGCGCCCAGCGCACUCCUCCUCCAUUCCCUAUCCCUCUCCUCACUAAUCUCUCUUCUUCUUUCCGUUCCCGAGCUGCAGGACGCCAUGGCCACGGAUUAAAGCUCCGUCGGACUUUCGCUCGCGACUGCCGGCCUUCUUCACGACCAGAUCGACGACGGGGACGACCGGAUCUGCCCCGCCACCUUUCAUUUCUGCCUCGCCUAGCAGCACUGCGCAUCUGCCCCACCUCCCCAGCCAGCGCAGCCGCCCCUCCGUGUCUGAGUCCCUGUGCUGGCCACGCCCACCGCCUGCCCAGCACCGCUCUCCCGUUGCCUUAAACAAUCCAGCUCCACCACUAAUCCAUGCCCCUGCCCCGCGACUGAAGAGGAUCAGGUGACAAAUGUAACAAUUUAUUUGAAUCAAAUGUGAUUUUUCAAUUGUAAAUGUACGAUAGUGCCAAUGUUUAUUCUAUCUGUGUAUCAUCUUCUGUUUACUUCACACGUCUAUUGCACAAUAUCCCAUUUCUGAAUGUUAUGUCUCAAUUUCACAUGCAGUUCAUAUAUUGCAUUGUAAUAACACUUUAUUUCUAACUUAUAAAUCGGAAUGUAACAGGUUCAUUGUAAAUCUGUGACAUUCAUUCUAUAUGAAAUAUGAUAUAUCAGCUUCAGACAAAGAAGUUCAACCUACCACCUUAUUUUCUUGUUAAUGUAUUUUAGUCAAGCUAUCUUAAGUGACUUGUUCCGGCGACGGCGACGGUCAAGAACUAUCCUGGACAAUGUUAAGCAUAGAUAGCAAUGCAUAUUUGCCCUGUUCCACAUGCAUUACAGUUAUGUUGGAUCCUUCUGAAUUUCAUAGAAGCACAAGCUGCUAGCAUAGCGGUGUGCAGGGGGGAGGCCUUGAGCAGACAGGUGACUGCGUCGCUGGGGCAGCGGAUAUGAGGCAUAUCUGCAGGCAGCAGAUGGUAGGCAAGAGGCACAUGGCAGUGUGGCGAGAUGGCCAGUGGCUUGCUGCUGUUGCGAGAGGGCUACCUAGAAGAUGGACAUGAAGAAUAUGGUGCCAGCAAUGGCAAAGGGGAAGGCAGGGAGUGGUAAAGUGAAAGGUAUAUUUCCUUUUGAAUUUCUGUAUUUGUGUACGUUGGCAGGGGAAAACGAUAGUGUGCAACCCUGAUUUUUAUUCCUGUCAGACUUUCAGACAGUGUACACUAGAGUGAUAUUGUGGUCUUUUCAUGCUGUAAAUUGCAGAUUUGACUAGACACAUCGGCUUAAUUUUUAUUAUUAUGAUCGUAGUAGUAUUUUCAUGCUGUAAAUUUCAGGUUUGACAAGAUACUUUGGCUUAGUAUACGAGAUAUAGAUACUCCACAACAUGUGUAUGGUCGCGUAACUCUUGGUUCUCCUAAAUCAGCCUUCGAUCACAUGAAGGUAUACCCUGGUGCAGGGUAUGUACAUAAACUAAGUGCAAACGUGUAAUCUAUAUGUAUUCUUUUCAAUGGUAAUUUGAUAUUUGGCUUUCCAAACUAACCUUGCAAUUUAGUUAGAAACAGUUAAGUUCUUCAGAAAUCCCUUGAAACAUUCUCAAGCAAAAGCAAACGAAGGGCAUACCAGUUCCUUUUUAAUACGAGCCUCAAACUUAUUGUAUUCUUAAAUCUAAAUAUGUUCCCAUUGUUGCAUCAUUUAGCUGUUCUUUAUUACCUCAUCCAGUAAUGUUUCUUUCGUGGUUUCGCUGAAUUAACAAAAUAGUUUUUAUAGCUUAUUUGUGCAGGUAUAUGCUAAGAUUGUGUGGGCAAUAUGUCUCUUUCAUACUGCUUAUUAAAGUUUGAUGGAUUAUGGUUGGAAUGUGAUGCUUAUCUGCUCAUUUUAUUUUCUACAGUUUGUGAUAAGAUCGGAUUUGAGGUGUAUUUAUAACGAUCACAUAAAUGAAAGGCUGCAGGAAGAUUUUGGAAAUGGCAAUGGUGUCAACAAAGACAUGAGACAAGAGGUAAACACUCUUCUAUAUGUUACCCUCUACUAUUUGAUUGUACUGUUGAAAUUGAUUUUGCGACCCAAAUAUGGUGAGUAGAAUUUUACCUUAUAUUUUUUGAUUACAUGUGUUGCACACUGGUCUAUAUGUACCCCUAUCCAUCUGGGCGAAGAGUUCCAACUUUUGAGAACGGACAUUGUGCAAAAGUUUGUUCUUUCAUGCUUGCCAUUCAUCCCCGAACAGUUGUGACAGGAAUUGCAAUACUGUAGAUCUGUACAUACGCGAGUGCUGUAUGACAACUUCAUUAUGAACUAGUCACCUCGAAAUUUGACAAGCAUAUGAGAUAUGUGUAGUAAUUUGUGUAUGCAUUACAGCUUGGACUGACGGCAUCGACUGAAAAAUCGUCCCAACCAUCUUGGAGACAGCCAGGCAGGUGUUGCGAGCUGUGAUGCCUGAGGCACCUGCCGAGAAAAUGGUGUUCGACAUGAUGAUCAAGGAAGCGCAGGGUAUGCUCUUCUAAUUAGUGAAACAUCUGAAAAGGUAAUACCGUAAUAGAUACGUGGCACAUUCCUCUCUCGUAUGUCAAAUAUUCGGUAGAAGUUACUUGUAAAAACAUUGCAUUUAACAUUGCAUUUGCUGGUCUGUAGGUGUCUGAAGAAAGGCUUAUCUCACUUCUGAAGCAAAUCAACACCCACACAAGCAAACAAACCAAAGUGGCGGUAGAGUCACUGCACAUAAGGAAAUUUACUUAGCUUCCAGUAGUGGGUUUAGGCUACCUUCAUUAAAACCCGAUAUGAUCUGAGGUGCAAAUUUUCAGAGUAACAUGCUCAUGUGUAACACCAAACUGUUGCUGACAUGCUAAGUUCAUGAUGGAGGACUGGACAAGACUAUGUCGAUUGAAGAAAACUAGGAUCUGCAACUUAUUUCAAAACAGAACCUAAUGGAGGAUCAAGAAUCUGCAAACUUACUUGUAUUGUUACAGUAUAUGAAAUCAAAAACACUAAUACAAAAAUGCAUCAUUAUUUCUGAAUCAUGAACUUAAGCGUCAGCAAAGCAUUCAGCGAUUCCCAUUAAAUUCAGCAAAAGUACUACUUGAAACAAUAACAUUCAGAUAGAUUAGCAACUUCAGUUCUCACAACCAACGAGCCAACGAAGCGUUGGCAAUCAUCCAGCACAGAGAGGACCAUUCCUACCACUAGUCGGAGAUACAUAAGCAGAGUCAGCGACCACUAACAGAAGAAAACAGCAGCCAACUACAUCUGUCAUAACAAGCGACGCAGCGUCAGU